CCAGCUUCCAAUUUCCAUCACUAGAUGAAGAAGCAUCUGCUACUAAUUUAUAAUCAUCAGAUUGAGAGUCAUAUCCGAAUCCGGAGACACCCGAUAACCUAACUCGAUCAACAAAAUUGGGACCGGGCAACUCAAUGCACUCCCUGGUAGUCGGGUUAUAUAUGACAAAAUUGGAGGGGCCAAGUAAACAUACAAGGCCAUCGCAGGACCCCACGAUGCGGGGCUCCCACAAAGGUUUGAUCCCAUGAGGUACCACCAUGCGACCCUCGCCGCCGCCGUCGUCGAGCGCUUCGUAGUCCACGGUCUUGAGGGAGCCGUUGCAGCCACUGAUGAUGAAUCUCUGGCUGGGGAUCAAAUCCCCUGCCUUCAGCCUCUGCAGAUGCGACUUGGCGAAGGCCCGGUCGGAGAUCAGAGACCGCCACCGCUUGCAGACGCAUUUGAAUCGCACCAGCGACUUCGCCGGUAGCCUCAACAGUAUGUCCACGACGAUAUCCUCGGGCAUACUCUCGGCCAUUGUUUCGGCAAAAUGGCAACAGGUGAGAUCUCGGACGAGGUCGAUUGGGUCAGCGAUGGCCGUAGCCGGCUUUCUCGAGAGGUCCCAAGGCCGCCGCCGGACACGGGCGGAGGGGGGACUCGCCGGCGUGGGCAGCGGUCGGGCGGUGGCAAGGCGGAAGAGGACGAGGAGGAGGAGGAGGAGGAGAGAGCUGGCGUGGAAUUUUCAAUUGGGCAUAUUCCCAACUUUCUUGAAUUUUAUGAAACCCUAGAAAUUGCUGCCUUAUUAUAUUAUAUGAAAUGUCGUCUCGUUUUGUGCAUUUCCCAUAAUAUCCUUCGCAAGACAAAGCGUCCCAUCAUGGCAUAGAAGGGCCAUAACGUACAUUCACACUUUCUCUCUCUCGAUCAAUUGAUAUGGACCGACGAGUAAAUAGACAAAAGUUGUGAAUGACACAUUUCGUUGAUCUUGGACACGAAUUAUCAACUACAAGAAAACUAAAGGUCUUAAGAUUUAGAAUUAUGGUUAUCCGCCAUGUAAAGAUACCCGGAAUAUCCAAAUAAAUAGGUUGAUCAAUUUAAACAUUUGGCAUUUUUUGAUUGAUUGGCAGUCAUAUAAAUUGUAAUUCAAGUACUUAUAUGUAUAAUCUAUGGUUUACAAAUAGGUAAGAAGAAACAAUGUUAAUUCUAUGUGUUUCAAUCAAUCCAACAUUCUUUACUCACAUAUCUGGGAUCGUAGUUACCAUCUAUGGGUUAUCCUCAUUUUAUGACAUCCCGAAAUUUCGAAAAAAGAAAUUAUCGGAUGAAAAUCAAAGAUUGGAAGAAAAAGAAAAUGAUAACAAUACUAUUAUUAUCUUCCUUCUCUCUCUCUCCUCUUUCUCCUUUUCUUCACGCAUCCUCCUCCUUCGGCCGAGAUUCCUCUUCCUCCUUUUUCUUUUCUCUCUCUUCUCUCUCUCUUCUCCCUUACGUUUCCCCCUCUUUCUACCGAAAUUUUCAUCCCUCUUUUUCUCCUCUUUCUUCUCUCUUUCUUCUUUUUCUCCCUCUCUCUCCCACUUUUCCACCCCCUCACCGACGCCAACCCUUCUGCUGCAAUUUCCCCCUCAACUUCCCCUCCUUUACUUUAUUAUUUCUCUCCUCUUUUCCCCCUUCCUCCUCUCGACAACUCCCCUCCCUUCUUCUUUUCCUUUUCUCUCCCUUCUCUCUCUCUUCUCCCCCUCACGCAUUCUCCAUUCUACUGUAGCACCCCCAUCUUCUUUCACCUCCAUUUAUUUGCUUUUAUUUUCUCUAAUUUCAUCAUCUACUUGUCUCACCACCAUCACCCUCACUGUUGCACAACAUCCGCCUAAGCCGAGCGCCCUUGGCCUUGAGCUCAGCUUCAACGAACCGUCACCAGAAGUUCUUCAAUCCACAAAUUAAGUUGUCUUCUAAAUUCGGAUUAAGGGUUAAGUACUUACCGACCUUUAGAGGUCGAAUUUCCAAUUGGUUUCUUCACAAAAGUUGUUCAUUACAACUUCUAGUUUAACAUACUCGAAUUUCAAAUCAAACGGACCAGAUUUCGACCCAGAACCGAACUGAUUUCGAUGAGUUAGACUCUCUGGAACUGGACCCGAUUUUAGUGCGGGAUUGAGAAAAAUUCUAGGCCGAAUCCAGACAGAUCUGGAUCUCAGUGUCUUCAUGAAAAAUGUUUUUUUAUGUGUUGUUUAUCACAUGUCCAAGUUUGAGAAUUUUUCGAGCUCAUAUGAAUUGGUUUCUGACUUCGAACUUGAAAGCGCGUAAUUGGACAAUUUUCUGCCAAUUUCUGUUUAGUAGAAGCUUAUGUCUCUUUGAAGUGUUCUUGCUGGAAAUUUGAUGAAUUGAUGUCGUGAAUGAGAAAUGCAAUGGAUUAUUAAAGUGUGACAUUGAAUGAAUAUAACUAUGGCCUAAGGAUUCAUCACGAGCCUUUGGGGCCGGGCGAUACUCCUUCAGGAAUGCCCCAAGUCAACAAAUGCCAGUCGCAGUGGAUGCUGGACCGAUGCUCCUAAAUGUAAGAUGUGUGUAGUUUGUAAAAAUAUAAUCCUAUGUUUGCUAUCUCAUUUAUGUGUUGUUGGGAGAAUAUGAUUUCGCUUCCACAUGCUUGAUAAACAAAUGGGUCGGCAACAGGUUCUGGGAUAUUUAAAAAUUUAUAUCAACCACGGAGAGAUGUGCAUGUGCUCGGAGUCGGGUCGUGACACAUUUCAUCGGCAAUUACCUCCUUUGACGUCACAUAUAAGUUUGUCGGUUUUAUCACUUAUGAUUACUUCUCUAAUUAUUGCAUCUGACUUUCUCUGAUGAAGCAUUCGAUUUUUAUGGAUUGAUUGCAAUUUGCAUAGGCUAUGAAUUCAUCUUUUGACUACGGAUUGCGUUUUUUUACUAGUUAGUUUAAACCACAAUAGGGCACCAUUCCAUUGCUGUGAUGGGUCAUUAUAACUAAAAGUUACUUUUGUUAUCAACAAAAAUGGAGAAUAAAAAAUUAUUGCUGACCGUGAAAAUAUUUUUUAUAUAACUUAUUCUUUUGAGGGGUGAUAAUAAUCUGUAUCUCUAAAAUAUCUUUUGAAUUAUCAAUUUUCGUGAAACAAACCAAGCCCCCAAAAUGUAUCAGAUUUUUACUUAUCUAAAAUUUAGAAUUUAGUUUGAUAGGUACCUUACACGGGCAACCAAGAUUGUUUCGACCAACUGAUCGGUACCCGUUGGUCUUCAUGCAACUUGAAUUUUACCUUUGCAAAGGUCGUCAAAUUAGGAUAUCUUCACAAAAUAAUAUCAUACUUUCCUUUUUGCCUUGAAUAGUGGUCCAUCUAUGGUAUAAUGAUCAUAUUGAUCCAAGUAAAAAGGAUGACAAAAGAGCAAAAUUAUGUUUGAUAUGCAUUGACAAGCUUGACUCUUUAGCAUCCUAGAUUUCUCAGGAUCUACAGUUUUGAAAUUCAGCAUUAUUAAAAUAUCAAAAUCCUGUAGUUGAAUAAGAUCUCAAUAGAUUAUUCUAAUUUGCCACUACAGUGGCCAAAUGCAUGGAAUCAAUGCAACAGACCUCUUAUUCAUACAUUAAAUUUGCCCAUCUUAAUUACGUCUAACGUGUCUCUGAUCAACUAUUGCAGCUAUAACAAGAAGGACUAAUUGUAACAUUCAGUUCAAUGCUGAAUCUUUACAAAUCGAGGGUGAGCUUGAAGCUACUCAGUUAAACCUGAUCACAUCAUUAAGUGUCACUGGCUCAAGAAGUGGCAAAACAUGGGCUAAAUGAAGACAAGAGUGAACAUGAUCUACCAAUAUACAGUCUAAGGGGCAAUUUUCCCUGCUUAAGGUUACCAAAGCAAACAAAUAGUUAAAUAAUGCCGAUUGUAUGUGGAUUCAAUAGUUUAUUUGGUAAUCGAUUAUGGAUUAACAUAGCAUUAUCACCACUUUCUUUAAUUGGAGACUACAUUGCGCUUUAAUGCCAAUAGUAUGUUUUUCAAGUUGUGUAAGUGUAGCACGGCGAGAGGGUCAUUUCUAGAAUCUUGUAUAGUAAUAGUAUAUAGAGUAUUCACAAAGGCUCAAUUCAAAAAAUAGAAGGAAAAAAAGGAAAAGGAAAAAGAGUGAUAAUCAUGUUAGGCAUGAAGAGCCAUCGAGGUUAACUACAGCAGUACAAGAUGGUCCAACUCGGAUUCAGCUGUCACAAAGCUUAAGUGAACUCUAAUUUUACAAUGGCAAUUUGACAUACUCAGGUAAAGCACAAAAUUACAGCUCCUAAAAUAGCUGGCAUUACUAAAACGACAGAGGAGGAAAGUCAGAAUUAUAGCCGGUCCUGAUCCAGGUCAUGCAUUUCCACUGGACAGAAGGAUAGGAGAAGUUUAAGAGCUUUCUACAUGAGAGUUGCCGCAAAGACCUUUUAUUUUACUCCUAAAGAGUAAUGGCAAGUGACUAUGACAGUGUCAUAUGCACCUAGAUUGUUGGUGACAUGCAAGGAGCAGUGUUUGGUGGCAUGCUAGAAUGCCCCUCAAGACCUACAGCGAAAAGGAAAAGUUAAUGUAUUUGUUGUCAUUGUAUUUGCAAUCAUCUUCUGUUCGGUCUUGAUUGAGAUAUUUUAGUCUUCUUUCUCGAUUUGAAGCCUCCCGUUAGUAAUGGGUCCUUGUUUACUUGCAGGAGACAAACCAAACAUUUGCAUUCAAAACCUUAUAUGGUCAACCAAGAUUGUUUCAACCAAUUGAUAAGUACCCACUGGUCAUCAUUAGACCUGUUAAACGGGUGGGUUGGAUCGGGUUUGGGUCUGGUCAUAAAUGGUCCGACCCAAAUCGACUCAUUUAACCCGUUUAUGACCCAUUUAUCGUCGGCGUCAAGCGAGCCCGAGGUCACCCCUCGCCGGAUCUGGCGAGCCUCGAGCCUCGAGCCUCGCCUAACGUCGGCGAGGCCUCUGGCUUGCCCGAUUUGGCGAGCUCGAGGCUCGCCAGCAUCGGGCGAGCUCGAGCCUCGCCAGAUUCGACGAGCAACGAGCUCACCCGAUGCUGGCAAGCUCGAGGCUCGCUUGGCUGGUCACCGACGACCGAAGGAAGAAGAAAGAAAAAAAAAUGAAAGAAAAAAGAGAAAAUAAAAAAAAUUAUAAUUUUGGUUUUUAUAAAAAAAAUAAUUUUAUAAAUUUAAAGAGAGAAGAGAGAGAUUGUGAGGUUUUGAGAGAAAAGCUUUCAUCUUCAACAGGUUGGGGAAUGGGUCUUAAAUGGGUACAAAACAGACCCAUUUAAGACCCACAUAAUUUAGUCCUUUUUUAUUUUUAAAACCCAUUAAUGGGUGCCUUGAGAAAUAAGCCCGACCCAUUAACGACCCCUUUAAGUAAACAUGGGUCCAUAAAUGGGUUGUGGACCAUUUAACACCUCUAGUCAUAAUGCAACUUGUAUUUUACGUUUGAGGAGGUUGUCAGAGUAGGAUAUCUUCACGGAAGAAUAUCGUACUUUCCUUUUGCCUUGAAUAAUGGUCCAUCUGUGGUAUAAUUGAUCAUAUUGAUCCAAGUAAAAAGGACAACAAAAGAGCAAAAUUAUUUUUGGUAUGCAUUGACAGGUUUGACUCUUUAGCAUCCUAGAUUUUUCAGGAUCUGCAGUUUUGAAACUCGACAUUAUUAAGAUCUCCAAAUCCUCUAGUUGAAUAAGAUCUCAAUAGACUGUUCUAAUUUUCUACUGCAGUGGCCAGACACCUAGAAUCAAUGCAAUGGAUCUCUUAUUCUUACACUGAAUUUACUCAUCUUAAUUACAUUUACCGUGUCUCUGAUCAACUAUUGCAGCUACAACAAGAAGGAAUAAUUGUAGCAUUGAGAUAUAUUGACUAAUUGUAGCAUUGAGAUAUAUUUGUCUUAUUUCUUGAUUCAAAGGUUCCUUUUUGUAAUGGGUCCUUGUUUACUCGCAGGGGACAAACCAAGCAUUUGUAUUCACAAUUUUAUAUGUGCAAACAAGAUUGUUUCGACCAACAGGUAAAGUCAUGGAACUUGAAUUUUACCUUUACAGAGGUUGUUGAAUGAGGAUGUAUUCACCAAAAGCAUAUCAUACUUUCUGUUUGCCUUGAAUAGCAGUCCUGUCUAUGGUAUAAUUGAUCAUGCUGAUCCAAGUAAAGAGGACCAUAAAAGAACAAAAUUCUGUUUGAUAUGCAUUGACUGAUUGACUCUUUAGCAACUCAGGAUCUGAAGUUCUGAAUUCAGCAUUAUCAAGAUUUUAAAAUUCUCUAGCUGAAUAAGCUCUGGGAACCUAUCGAUAUGAUUCGUUGUAGUUGAUUAAGAAAACUGGGGGGAGGACAACCAAGUCAAUAGACUGUUCUAAUUUACUGCAGUAGUGGCAUCCACAAUUCUUCUAAGAGGGUUUAUCGCUUGACGCACAUAAUCAAGGCAAUGUAUAUUUACUGUCUCCGAGCAUCAGUAAACCACCCCUCCCCCCCUUUCUUCUCUUCCCUUGCCUUGAAGAAGCGACACCUUGUUUCCCUUCUUGACAUGCUAUCGCAGCUACAACGACACGGACUAAUUGUAGCAUCUCUGUGCUGAAUCUAUAUAAAUCGAGAGUGAGUUUAAAGUUAGUCAAACCUUUCUACAUCAUGCAGUGUCAUUGGCUCAGGAAGUGGCAAAAGGAUUGGUUAUAUGAAGAAGACAAGAGUGAGAGAGAUUGAGAGGGGGGGGGGGGGGGGGGGGGGGGGAAAAAAGNNNNNNNNNNNNNNNNNNNNNNNNNNNNNNNNNNNNNNNNNNNNNNNNNNNNNNNNNNNNNNNNNNNNNNNNNNNNNNNNNNNNNNNNNNNNNNNNNNNNNNNNNNNNNNNNNNNNNNNNNNNNNNNNNNNNNNNNNNNNNNNNNNNNNNNNNNNNNNNNNNNNNNNNNNNNNNNNNNNNNNNNNNNNNNNNNNNNNNNNNNNNNNNNNNNNNNNNNNNNNNNNNNNNNNNNNNNNNNNNNNNNNNNNNNNNNNNNNNNNNNNNNNNNNNNNNNNNNNNNNNNNNNNNNNNNNNNNNNNNNNNNNNNNNNNNNNNNNNNNNNNNNNNNNNNNNNNNNNNNNNNNNNNNNNNNNNNNNNNNNNNNNNNNNNNNNNNUACGUCAUAUUGUGAUCUCACGACAAUUUAUAGCUGUAUAAGCAUAAUAACUUCACAGAUUAUAAACUAUCGUUCCUUAAACUGAAAUUAUGCGAAUGUGUGGGAUUCGUGAUGUUAAGCAUUGUGACUUGAGGGCAUGACCUUUGUCUUAAGAGAUUGAAAAGUAUAUUAACAAUAACUUUACGUGAUGAGUUUCAUAAUUUCCACUUAGACAGAAUCCUUAUCUGAAACCGCAUCAGCUGAAUUUCUACAUGGGAUACUUGUUCUCAGAUACAUCACUUUGUGAUACGAAGUAAGAUAAUUGACCUGGUUUUCUUGAUUAGGUGCCAAUAGGUACUACUACAUAUGCAUGAAUGACUCACUUGCACUUGGCGGUGGAGGCAACUUUGCCCUGUCCUUAGAUGGAGAUCUGUAAGUUGUCGUGUUUACAAAUUUCCAUUUUUCCAAUAAAGGAGAGGUCCAUUUUUAGUCAUCUCUUUUGUAUCUUGUUAUGAAAAGGUUAAGUGGAACAAGUGGACCCUGCGAAACAUUUGGAAGCUUAUGUUUGGCUCACAACCCAGAGUUCGAGUUGAAGAAUGCUGAGGUAACAAGCUAAAAUGUCCAAGCUUGCCUUCAAUUGCAAUCACUUGAUGUUGUGAGGAUAGACUUCAUCAGAUGAAGCGUUUGAAUUGAUGCACGACUUGCAAUUUGCAUAGGCCUUAAAUACAUCUUUUAACUUGAUUUUUUUCUGACAAAUUAGUUUUGUCUAAGGAGGUUGAUGACCUUGAUGUACAAAGGUGCAUGAAUAAUCUGUGUGGGAAAAGAGAAGUCAAUUAGAUUGGCUAUCUCCAUGGAGCUGAAGGUGCUAAGAAUUAUUGUCUUGCUUGCUUUAGGUUUGACAUUUUAUGUGGAUCUUACCGCCUUGGAGAAUAAGGCUUUAACUAAAUUGCAUGUUUCGUUGCUAAUGUUCACUUGUCAUCUAUAUCUGUGAAGAUUAGCCUCCACAUUUCGUAUUAGCAAUCCCAUUGUCUCGUUUGUGGUGCAGUUAUGGGGCUUCACUCACUCAUCAUCCCAUACUACAAGACCUGAAGUUGCAACAAGGCCUGCUCGCGCCGCUCUCCUCUGAAGUUCAUUCUUUAUUGUUUCAAUUUUGCCUUAAUAUAUCCAUAUCUAUCCUCAGAAUUCUGUAGCCAGAUAGGUCUAUUUAUAUUACUUGUUGAGGCACCCUUCCAGGUAUGUGAUGGGGCCAAACGGCUGAUUGUGCCGGUUACUUGAGACUUGUUCCUGUUUAAACUCAUUUCAACUUCAAAUGAAGCUUGCUUUCUAAGAGUGAGGAAUUCUUGUUGGUGUGCGCGGUCAUUUCUGUAAUCUGUUUUCUUCAAUGUGUGGAUUAAUAGAGAAGAGAAGAUUCGAUGGCAUGCAGAGUAAUAUACCUGAGUGGUUCUUGUUUGCCCAGAGGGAAUUUUAUUUAGAAUUAGCAAUCUGUUCAUAAAGUCAAAUCACAAAAGAACAAGAGAUCCCUAAUUACAACAGGGUAUGUAGAGGAGUAUCUAACUCCAGAAACAGAAGCAGGCAUUCAAGGUUAAACCAAUGGGAUGAAAAACUAUUACGAUAAAUGUACACAGUUCUAUGAACAUUGCAGCGAAAGAGUUUCAUCUAGGCUAAACCUUUCGCAAUAUUUCUCAUCACAGCGGGAUUUUGCCAUCACCAUCCCUUUGAAUAGAUAACUCGCAUCUUGGUACGUGGAUUCAAUAGUUUAUUUGGUAAUUAGGGAAUAACAUUAUCGCAAGUUUCUUUAACUGGAGACUACAUUGUGCUUUGAUCCCGAAGGUAUGUUUAUCAAGCUGUGCGUGCAAAUGCAGCCCAAUGAGAGGAUGGGUCAUUCCCGAAAUCUUGCACAGCAAUAGUACAAAGAGUACUCAAGAAGGCAAAAUUCAAAAAGAGUCGCCGAUCUUGACUAUAGUAUUACAAGAUAGUUCAUCCUCGAAUUCAGUUGCACGAGUAUCCACAUUCCAGUCAAGCACAUUAAAACUCAAACUCUACUUACCGUCUCUCAUUAUUCUAGCAAACCAAAGAUGAUUGAAUGGCCAUUCAUUGAGCAGACAUCUAACCCUACAUCUGGACAGAGUACUAAAAGCACGAUAAACUUACUAAAGAAUAGACUUUCGACACUAUUUUUUUCUUCAAAAUCCACAAGAUCAUUCAACAGCUCCACCACCAAGGUAGGGAGAAACGAGAGUUUCCAAAUAGAUGGCAUAUUCGGUAACAAAGUCCGUCCCUAAGAGAUGAUCUUGGCAAGUAUUAUACUCUGGAUUAAACAGAAUCAUCCACUUCCUAUCCAUCAAAAAAACAAUUUUUCCACUCCUUGUGUACGCAAGGGGGAUCUUCUUGAAGGGCGUAUUCCAAUUUAUGAAGGCUUCGGAAUCAAUACUGAACCAUUUUUCCCACCGUGCUCCUAUCCCGUACUCAUCUGUCAUCCAUGCCUCAAUGCGGGGAUUUUGGGCAGUAUUGUAUAUGAACAGAUUCGCCCCAUGAAUCUCGAGUCCCAAGAGUAGUAUGUCCUCAUCGAUUGGAGGGACUGGAAGCACCUGGUGAAAUUUCUCUUCCGACAAGUCAAAUGACAUAAUUGCAGAAAAGCCCUCCUCAUUCGUGUUCCAGACAUAGACGUGCCAGUGUAAGGCCCCUUUCCAAUAAAGGGCUGGGCCGCAACAUUCGACUCCCUCUUCCUGGAACGGAACUUCUAUCAUCAUCAUCGUCCAGGAACAGGAUUUGAGCGAAAAUAUUGCCACCUUCCCAUUUUCAACUUCAACAACAUCCCCUACUACUAGGGCUAUUUUGUAGUCAUCAGAUUGAGAGUCAUAUCCGAAUCCGUAGAAUGAAUUAUUUCUGGCUCCACUGAAUAAUGUAGCUUGAUCAACAAAAUCGGAACCGGGCAACUCGAUAUACUCCCUGGUGGUCGGGUUAUAUAUGACAAAAUUGCUGGGGCCAAUUAAACAUAACAGGCCAUCGCAGGACCCCACGAUGCGGGACUCCCGCAAAGGUUUGAUCCCAUGAGGUACCACCACGCGACCCUCGCCGCCGCCGUCGAGCGCUUCGUAGUCCACGGUCUUGAGGGGGCCGAUGCCGCCACCGAUGAUGAUUCUCUGGCUAGGGAUCAAAUCCCCUGCCUUCAGCCUCUGCAGAUGCCACUUGGCAAAGGCCCGGUCGGAGAUCAGAGACCGCCAUCGCUUGCAGACGCAUUUGAAUCGCACCAGCGACUUCGCCGGUAGCCUCAAGAGUAUGUCGACGACGACAUCCUCAGGUAUACUUUCAGCCAUUGUUUGGGCAAAACAGAAACAGGAGAGAUCUCGGACGCGGUCGAUUGGGUCGGCGAUGGCCCGUAGCCGGCUUUCUCGAGAGGUCCCAAGGCCACCGCCUGACACGGGUGGACUCGCCGGCGUGGGCGGCGGUCGCGCGGUGGAGCCCGGCAGCUGGGCGGAGGCAAGGCGGAGGAGGAGGAGGAGAGAGCUGGCGUGGAAUUUUCAAUUGGGCAUAUUCCCAACUUUCCUGAAUUUUAUGAAACCCUAGAAAUUGCUGCCUUCUUAUGUUAUAUAAUAUGUUGUCUCGUUUUGUGCAUUUCCCAUAAUAUCCUUCGCAAGACAAAGCGUCCCAUCAUGGCAUAGAAGGGCCAUAACGUACAUUCACACUUUAUUUCUCUCUCCAUAUGGAUCGACAAAAGUUUAGUGGCGACAUGCACGGAUCAGUGUUUGGUGGCAUGCUAGAAUGUCCCUUAACACCUACAUCAAAAAGGAAAUAUGAGAUGAUCCGUAAUAUUCUUGAUUUUGUUGUCAUUAUAUUUGCAAUCAUCUCAAUCUUGAUUGAGAUAUUUUAGUCUUCUUUCUUGAUUUGAAACCUCCUUCUUUACUCACAGGGGGACAAACCAAACAUUCGUAUUCGCAACCUGAUAUGAGCAACCAAGAUUGUUUCGACCAACUGACAAGUACUUUUAGUCAUCACACGACUUAAGUUUAGCCACUGCAGAGGAUGUUUAACAAGGAUAUCUUCAAGAAAAAAUAUCAUACUAUCCUUUUGUUUUGAAUAUUGGUCAUGUCUAUGGUCUAAUUGAUCAUUCUAAUUCAAGUAAAAAGGAGGACAAAAGAACAAAAAUAUACCUGAGUGGUUCUUGUUUGCCCAAAGGGAAUUUUACUUAGAAUUAGCACUAUGUUCAUAAAGUCAAAUCACAAAAGAACAAGAUAUCCUCAAUUACAACAGGGUACGUAGAGAAGUAUCUAACUCGAGAAACAGAAGCAGACAUUCAAGGUUAAACCAAUGGGAUGAAAAACUAUUACGAUGAAUGUACACAGUUCUAUAAACAUUGCAAUGAAAGAGUUUCAUAUAGGCUAUGAAGAAGUUCAAACUCUUUUGAGUUUAUGUAGGUCUGCAACAGUGGGUUUCUGUAAUUUCUGACACAGCUGAUUUGUGGCAUAUGCAAUGUCAGGUCUUGUUAAAGUCAGAUACUGAAGGCCACCUACUAAGCUUCGGUACUCGACAGGAUUGGCAAGUGGAGCAGAAUCAUUUAUCAGAACAGUCGGUUUUAGUGAUAUAGGAGUAGUAAUUGGUUUGCACUCAAGCAUAUGAGCUCGAGUAAGAAGAUCUCUGGCAUAUUUUGUCUGACAAAGAAAUAGGUAAUCAGAAGUAUUCUUGACUUCAAUGCCAAGAAAGUAAUGUAAUGGGCCAAGAUCUUUCAUAUAGAACUGAAGACUUAGAGGAUGGAUGAGGUUGGAAGGAACUGAGAGGAGCUUCCAGUCAUGAUAAUGUCAUCAACAUAUAGUAGUAGAAGGAUGGUGUAUGUAUCUUUAUGAUAGAUGAACAAUGAUGGGUCAGUUGAGCUGCAAAAGAACCCAUAUUCAAGUAGAAAGUUACUGAACUUGUCAAACCAGGUUCGAGGAGCUUGUCGAAGUCCAUAGAGAGACUUCCUAAGUAGACAUACAUAAUGAGGAUUGUUGGGAUCUUGAAAGCCAAGAGGCUGCUCCAUGUAAACUAUCUCAUUCAAUGUACCAUGUAAGAAUGCAUUUUUGACAUCUAAUUGAUGAAUUGGCCAGUGUUUCAUCAUGGCUACAGAUAGAACUAUACGAAUUGUAGCAUGUUUGACAACUAGACUAAAUGUUUCUGUAAAGUCAAUGCCCUCUUCUUGAUGAAAUCCUUUAGCAACCAGUCAAGCCUUAAGUCUAUCAAGGCUACCAUCAGCUGCAAGCUUUGUUUUAAAUACCCACUUAUAGCCAAUGACAUUCAUUUGAUCAGUUCGAGGAAUUAAUUCCCAAGUUUUGUUCUAAUAAAGUGCAUCCAUCUCUUUUGUCAUUGCUUUAUACCAGCCUUUAUGUGCUAAGGCUGAUUUGAUUGUUCUUGGUUCAAUAGGUACUUCAUAUAUAGCAAGACAUGCAUACCGAGGAUUGGUCUUGAUGAUGCCAGAUUUAGACCUAGUCUACAUAGGGUGAGUAGGUAAUGUACCUUGUGAAUCUAUCUGAUUAUUUGAAGUGUGUAGUUCCAUAGCUAGUUCAUCUGUUGUUUCAGUUAUGGGAACAGGUACUUCAACUUGUUGUGGACAAUCCUGAGUAGUGGUGGAUACUUGAUCUAUAGGAAAUUCAACUGGAGAGACAGAAACUGCUUGUUCUGUGCAUUCAGGUGAGAUCACCCCAUUUGUUUGCUUAGCUGUGGCUUCUUGUUCCCAAUCUGUAUACUAAGAAGUUGAAUGUUUUAUGUGAUUUGUAGUGGAGGAAGCUAGGAACUGUUCUUCUUCUGUCCACAGUUUAUACAAGUGUGUGUAGGAAGGAUAAACUCUUGCUAACUUCUGAGAGAAUGGGAAGAAAUUCUCAUCAAAUACUACAUGUCGACUAAUGUAGACAUGACCAGUAGUAGGGAGAAGGCAUCGAUAUCCCUUAUAGUGAUCACUGUAUCCAAGAAAGACACAGGUUAGUGAACGUGGAUCAAGCUUAUUCUGUGCAUAUGGUCGAAGACAGGGAUAGCAAGCAUAGCCAAAGGUUCUAAGAUGGUCAUAUCUUGGUUUCUGCUGAUAUAAUUUGCUGAAGGGAGACUGCAUCUGUAAUUUUUGAGUAGGAAGAAUGUUAACAAUACAGUUGGCUGUUACAAAUGCAUCUACCCAAAAUUUUAAUGGAAUUUUUGCAUGGUAUAGCAUAGCCAGACCAAGCUCAACUAUAUGUCAAUGCUUCCUUUCAGGUAUCCCAUUCUGCUCAGGUGUAUAUGGACAUGACAUAUGCUGUUGAAUGCCACAGUUCUAUAAGUGAGUUUUGAAUUUUUGGCUAAUAAACUCUCCUCCACCAUCACACUGGAAGGUCUUGAUUUUACAGUUAUGCUGAUUUUCGACUAACUUUUGAAACAUGAGAAAAACACCAUAGAAAUUUGACUUCAGCUUUAAUGGGUAUAUCCAACUAAACCGAGAGAAAUUGUCAACAAAAAUGACAUAAUACUUGAAACUCUGAAAAGACUUAACUGGAGAACGUCCCCAUAUAUCACAGUGAAUUUGUUCUAGAGGCUUUGUAGCUGUAGAAUUUGACAAUGGAAAAGGUAGAGCUGUACUCUUAGCUAUUUGGCAACUUCUAAAUACAGACUGUGAUUCUUUGUUAUACUGAAUCAGUUUUUGAUUCCUCAACUGCUUCAAGAUAUUAUGAUUUGUAUGAGCCAGUCGUUGAUGCCAGAUACUCUUUGCAACAAUUCUUUGUCUUUGUGUGAAAUAGACUUCUACAGCAUGAGGGUCUACUCUGUACAACCCUCUAACCUUCCUUCCUAGCUUCAUGGUUGUGUUGGUGAUGCUGUCCUUGAUGUACACACCAGUUUUGUCAAAAAUAAAGGAACAUGGGUAAUCAUCAGUGAAUUUUGACACUGAUAGAAGGUUUUUCUUAAUCUCAGGAACAAUCAACACAUCAUUUAGAGGCAAGGCAUUAAUUGCAGUAUUCAAUAUUGCAUUACCAAUGUAUUUGACAGGUAAACACAGACCAUUGCCUAUCAUGACUGUAUCAGCAUUGUUAUUUUUAGAAAGACUAUGGAGUAUGCCAGCAUUAAAGGUAAUAUGGGCUAUAGCUCCAGUGUCUGGAUACCAGUCUUGAUCAUUUGCCUCCUCGAUAUGUAGUGCUGCUAGUGCUAUUGGUAUCUCCUCAGCUUGAUAGGAGUUAUCAAACCGAUAACAACAAUGUAAGGCAUCGUGACCAGGCCUCUUACAGGUUUGACACUCAAGUCGAGUGUGUUAUGCUGGUUUCUCCAUUUGUACCUUUUUGUGAGGAGUUGAAUUUGAUGCAGGAUAUGACCUGAUAUCAUAAUACCUUUGUGCUGAUACAUUGUAUGGUCUAAAACCUUGAACAGUACCCAAGCUAGAGGAGGUAUUAAAUUGUUUGAACUGCUGAUUUUCUUGUUCAUAGUUUGAGUUAUUAUUUUUGUAACCCAUGUUUCUUCUAGGAUAACCAAAGUUUAUGUAUCUGGCAUUAUAUGUCCUUCCUCUUCCAUAAUUUCUUCCUCCACGAUUAUUUAUUCUUGAUCCUCUAGGAAUAGUAUCCUGUUGUAUAUAUUAUUUGUCAGCCUCUUCUUUAUGUAUAGCUUCAGUUUUCCUCUGGCCAUAGUAGGCUAGGUUAGGACUAAACUGGUUUAAAGAAUAAUUCUGUAGCCUGGCUUCGAAUCUUUCUAAGUGUGAGAUUACUUCAUCAUAUUCUGGUUGGGGCUUCAAGCAAUAGAUUGUAGUUUUAAAACUUUCAUACUCAGAUCCCAGACCUUCCAGAACUCCAAAUAGUUUUGUGAUUUCAUCAACUGGUUUUGCUAUGGCAUUCAACUGAUCACAUAUUGACUUGUACUCCCUGAGGUAUGCUGAUAAUGUUUGCUCACGUUUCUGGCAAGCCUGCAGUUUUCCACUUAACUCGAACUCCUUAGCUACUGAUUUUUGUGUUAACCGAUUUAACAGAGUUUGCCAAACUUCAUAAGUAGUGUUUAAACCAAUUAUCAGGCUAAGUAUAUUUUCUGACACUGCACCACUAAUCCAAGAAGAAACAAGCUGAUCUGUUUUUAUCCAGUCAUUAUAAUCAGGAUUAGGAAUCUCAUAAGUUUGACCUCCUUCUUCGAUCUGUAAUGUCUUUGCAGGUGGUGAAAUUUCCCCAUUCACAAAACCAAACAAAUCUUGGCUCCUCAAGAAUCUAUAGAACUGAGCUUGCCAUAGGAGGAAAUUAUCCUCAGCUAAUUUGAUGGUGACAAAAUUCGAGAUAUUAACAUGAAUAGGAAACGGAUAUCUCAUGCUGCCAUUUUAUUCUUUUUGAUCUCUGAUCGACUCUAGUUGCAGACACAAGUUCUACUGAUUUGCAGUAUGCUGCUACAAGUAUAUUGAUGAUGAAGAUUUAGAUGUGAAUGAACAAUUACCAACUCACAGAUCUUGUUGGAAGAUAUAGAUAUCUUCAGAGAUCAAAAGAAGCUUCGAAUCUACCUUCGAUCUGGUGUAGAUCUAACUAUUCUGUGCAGCAUCAAGAUGAUUUCUUCAGGAUGCAGAUGCUCUGAUACCAUGAAGAAGUUCGUGCAAAAAGGAACUUGAGAUGAAGAAUCAAUAGAGAGAAUUUGCAAUGAAAGUCUUCUUUCUUUUAUCUAUCAUUUCAUCAUAUCUACAAUCAAACGAGAAAUAGCCUUUUAUACACAAGGACUAUCUCCUGAAUCUGUUUUACAGGUAUUGAAUCAGUUGAAGAAAUAUAACUAACUAACUGAAGCAAGAAACUAACUUCCAAAGCUAAAGUAUACUAGACUAACUACCGAGACUGGUCAAGACUUGCAACACUUAUACAGAGUUUCGAAACAGGUUCUCUUUUCCUUCUUCUUAUCAGCAUAUCUUUUCAGCUGCAUGUACAUUCUUUACUUCCUCUGCUUCAUAUGUUUUCUCUCCAUUGCUCUUGUAUAUCUUGCUUCCCCUGUUCUUGCUUCCCAUGUUCUUACUGGCAUCAGUAAUAGCAUCAGUGAGGGAGCUUCUGUUCUUGUUGUUCUUAACAGGCUAAACCUUUUGCACCAUUUCACAUCAUGCGGGAUUUUGCCAUCACCAUCCCUUUGAAUAGAUAACUCACAUCUUGGUACGUGGAUUCAAUAGUUUAUUUGGUAAUUAGGGAAUAACAUCAUCACCAAUUUCUAUAACUGGAGACUACAUUGUGCUUUGAUCCCAACGUUAUGUCUAUCAAGCUGUGCGCGCAAAUGCAGCCCAAUCAGAGGAUGGGUCAUUCCCGAAAUCUUGCACAGCAAUAGUACAGAGAGUACUCAACAAGGCAAAAUUCAAAAAGAGUCACUGAUGCUGACUAUAGUAUUACAAGAUAGUUCAUUCUCGAAUUCAGUUGGCACAAAGCUUAGCGCACGAGUAUCCACAUUCCGGUCAAGCACAAUAAAACUCAAACUCUACUUUCCGUCUCUCAUCAUUCUAGCAAAACAAAGAUGAUCGAAUGACCAUUCAUCGAGCAGACAUCUGACCCUACAUCUGGACAGAAUACUAAAAGCACGAUAAACUUACUAAAGACGCUCUAUGUUUUUUCUUCAAAAUCCACCAGAUCAUUCAACAGCUCCACCGCCAAGGUAGGGAGAAAUAAGAGUUUCCAAAUAGAUGGCAUAUUCGGUAACACCGGCCAUCCCUAAGUGAUAAUCCUUGUAAGUAUUAUCCUCCAGAUUAAACAGAAUCAUCUGCCUCUUUUCCAUCAAAAAAACAAAUUUUCCACUCCUUGUGUACGCAAGGGGGAUCAUCCCAGAGAAGGUAUUACAAUUUAUGAAGGCACUGCAAUCAAUAUUGAACCAUUUUGCGCACGGUGCUCCUAUCCCGUACUCAUCUGUUAUCCAUGCCUCAAUGCGGAGAUCAUGGGCACCGUUGUAUAUGAACAGAUUCGCCCCGUGAAUCUCAAGUCCCAGGAGUCGUGUGUCCUCAUCGACUUCAGGGACUGGAAGCACCCGGUGAAAUUUCUCUUCCGACAAGUCAAAUGACAUAAUCGCAGAUUCGCCCGCAUCAUAUACGUGCCCAUAGAAGUGCCCAUAGACGUGCCGAUAGACGUGCCAGUGUAAGGCCCCUUUCCAAUAAACUCCUUGGCCGCACAAAUCGAGUUCCUCGUCUUGGAACGGAACUUCUAUCAUCCUCCAGGAACAGGAUUUGAGCGAAAAUAUUGCCACCUUCCCAUUUUCAACUUCAACAACAUCCCCUACUACUAGAGCUGGCGUGGAAUUUUCAAUUGGGCAUAUUCCAACUUUCCUGAAUUUUAUGAAACUCUUGAAAUUGGUACCUUCUUAUAUUAUAAUAUCCUUCGCAGAACAAAGUAUCCCAUCAUGGCAUGGAAGGGCCAUAACGUACAUUCACACUUUAUCUCUCUCUCCCCCCAUAAAGAUCAAAGAGUAAAUCGACAGAAGUUGUGAAUUACACAUUUCGUGGAUCUUGGACAGAAAAUAUAAACUAUAAGAAAAUUAAAGGUCUUAAGAUUGAGAAUAAUCGUCACCGGCCAUGUAAAGAUACCUGUAAUAUCCAAAUAAAUAGGUUGAUAAAUUUAAAUAUUUGGCAUUUUUUGAUUGAUCGAUAGUCAUAUAAAUUAAAAUUCAAGUAUUUAUAUAUAUAAUCUACAGUUAAUAAACGUGUAAGAAGAACGAUACCAGUUGUAUGUGCUUUAGUCAAUCUAACAUUCCUUUCUCACAUAUGUGGGAUUGUAGAUUCUACCAUCUAUGGGUUAUACUCCUUUCACCGACGAUUACCUCUUUUGACAUUACACUUAAAUCUGUCGAUUUUAUCACUUGAUGAUUACUUCUCUAAGAAUUGCAUCUUGGUCGAUUGUUUAUCAUGUUCUCUCUUCCCAAGUCAUUUUUUUUUCACUACCUAAUGAUCUUGUCGAGAUCGUCUUGUGAAACAUUUGGGAACUUGUGUUUGGCUCACAACCGGGAGUUCGAGUUGAAGAUCACUAGAUGUUGUCAAGAGUGACUCCCUCAAAUGAAGCACUCAAUUUUUAUACAUGGAUUGCAAUUUGCGUAGGCCAUGAAUUCAUCUUUCGACUACCAAUUGUGUUUUUCAACUAGUUAGUUUUAACCACAAAGGGGCACCAUUCCAUUGUGAUGGGGCCUUGUAACCGAAAGUUAUUUCCAUUAUCAACAAAAUGAUGAAGCAUAAAUUGUUACUAAUCGUGAAAACAUUUUUUUAUUUAACUUAUUCUUUUGAGCGGUGAUAAUGAUCCGAAACUCUAAAAUAUCUUUUGAAUUAUUGAUAUCCCGCAAAACAAAAAGAUAUUAGAUUUUUAAUUACAUCUACGAAGAGAUUAUAGCGAUGCUUAUGAAAUUCAUUUGCGAACAGUUGAACAAAAUAAAUGAACUACAGAUUAGGUUUCUAUCAUGUCCAUAAACGAUAACGUAAGGAAGCCAUGCACAAACACCAUAUAGAAAUGUUUGCUCGAUUCACAUCUUCGAUUUGCCAAACUACAUCUCAAUAGAUGGAUGCAGAACAAUUCGACGACCCACCGGAAGAUCCUUCUCCCCUUCAACCCUCCGAGAUCGGUCGCCUUGGAGAAAGUCAUUCGCAGCAUUGACGACGCCGCAACCACUGUGCUCCAUCAUCCACUCAAACUUUCGAGGUUCGAGGCUCGAGCUCCGAAUUUAUGUCGCUCGAACCCUGAAUCGUUAGCGUUACGGAAUGCGACUACCAGGGAGUCCUGCAAAAUCCCAAACCCAAAUGCGAAUCUUCUGCUUUUUGUCGACUUAUGGUUAAAAGAUUUGCGAAGCCUACUUUUACAGUUCUCUUGUUAGAAACGAGUCUCUCUCGAAUCACUAGAUAAGGUUGCCGUGUGCUUGCUUUAACAUUCACAUGAGUUAGUCGAAUGUUCACCACAUAACGAGACCCAGUAAAUUGUUGGUGAAGUUACACGAAAUCGGAUCGGGCAACAUUAGCAAAACAAAGAUGAUUGAGUGGCCGUUCAUCGAGCAGAGAUCCAACCCUAAAUCUGGAGAGGAUAGAGUACUGAAAGCAUAAGGAAGUUACUAAAGAAUGACCAGAUCUUAUAAUCGACUAUCAAGACUCUUUGUUUAUUUGUCAAAUUCCAUAAGGUCGUUCGACAUCUCAAGAUGGCCACUCAUUGCCAAGAUAGGGAGAAACAAGAGUUUAUCGGAUAAUUCUUUUAAGUAUCACCCUUAGGAUUGAACAGAAUAACCCGGUCCACAUCCAUCAAAGAAACCAUUUUUCCACUCCUUGUUUACGCGAGGAGGGAAUGCCAAGAGGCAGCUAUGCAAUCAAACCUGAACUAUUUUGUCCACGACCCGCCACACUCAUACCUUAUCCAUGCCUCGAUGCGGCAGUCACGACCAUGGCGGUCACAGGUGCUACCAUAUAUGAACAGACUAGCCUGUGAAUCACAAGUCCCAUGAAAACUAUGUCCCUGACUUCAGGGACCGAAAGCUUCCGAUGGAAUUUCUCUUCCGACAAAUCAAAGAACAUAAUCUCGGUCCUAUGAUUUAGGCUUUUGGUCAAAUGACAUACCAGCGUAAGGCCUCGUUCCAAUAAACUCCUUCACUAGAAACCUCGAGGUGGCUUUCUUCAUCAAACUGGACUUGUAUCCUUCUCCAAGAUUCGGACUUGAGAGAAAAUAUUGCCACCUCCCAAAUUUCACGGAGGCCCUCUACUAUUUUGUAGUCAUCAGACCGAGAGUCAUAUCUAAAUCCAUAGAAUAACCAUUUUGUCGAUAUAAAUCGGAAACGGGCAACUCUCUAUACUCCCUGGUGGUUGGGUUAUAUAUGACCAAAUUACAACAAGGUGCUUAGAGGAGUAUCUGACUCCAAGAAUAGAACCGAUGUUCAAGGUAAGACCGAUGGGGUGAAAAACUAUUACAAUGAAUGUAAACUGUUCUAUAAACAUGGCGAUGAAACAGUUUCAUCUAGGCUUAACCUUUCACACCGAUUCACAUCAUGCAGGAUAUUGCCAUCACCAACCCUUUGAUUAGAUAGCUUGCGUCUUGGUACGUGAAUUCAAUAGUUUAUUCCGUAAUUGAUUAGAGAAUAGUAUUAUCACUAUUUUCUAAGAAUGGAGAUUACACUUCGCAUUGAUACCAAUAGUAUGUUUAUCAAGCUGUGCGAAUGCAGCUCAAUGAGAGGAUGGGUCAUUUUCGAAAUCCUGUACAACAAUAGUAUACAAAGUGCUCAAUAAGACAAAAUUCGAAAAGAGAAUGGAAAAGGAAAAAAAAAAAAUAACAACAAAGGAGUGAUAAUCAUGUUAGACAUGAAAAGCCACUGAUGUUAACUACAGAAUUACAAGAUGGUUCAUCCUCGGAUUCAGUUGGCACAUAGCUUAAGUACGAGAGAAUCCAUACUCCAGUGAAGCAAAUUGAAACUCAAACUCUACUUGUUAUCUCUUCUAGCAAAACAAAGAUGAUUGAAUGGCAAUUCGUCAAGCAGACAUCUAACCCUACAUCUAACCCUACAUAUGAAGCGGACAGAGUGCUAAUAACACAAUUAAGUUGAUAAAGGACAGACUUUCAAUGCUCUCUGUUUCUUCUUCAAAAUCCACAAGAUCAUUCAACAGCUCCACCGACCUUUUUUUGGGGGAGUUUGCGUCAGAAAAAGUGCCGGUUCACUUAUACUUUUAAAGUAUGUUCUAAAAUAUAAAUUAAGCCUUUAAUUUCUAAUGAAAGAACUAUUAAAACUGGUGUAGGAAUAAAAUAGCACAAUAAUACAAAGCUUACAAGAAAGGAAAUAAAUAUCAUAAAAUUCCUUCUAGGUCUAGUGCUAAGAGUCUAAAAAAUAAAAGGAUUAUCUGGACUACUAUUUCGUGUAUUAUGAGCUCUUCUAGAAAUACGAGUACGUCCUCCAUGUAAGCAAUAUUGAUGUCUGGCUACAAACUUAGUAUUAAAAUGUUAUAGACUAAUCUGGAUAUUACCUAAAAAUUCUGGGUAAUUAACUUGGGCUAGUGUGAAAGAAUUAAAACUAUAUGUGAGCUCUUCUAUUAGUUCUGCUGCUACUAUGCAAUGAAUGUAAAGAGGACAGUGAGAUGUCAUGCAAGAGCGGGUGCUUAUGGGAGUUAAUUUAAUGAGACUUAAUCCUGCUCGGUACUAGGCUCAUCUUCAUUUUUAAGCUAAGUUUCCACCAAAUCAAAGACCUAUACCCUUAUGUUCUUAUAUCCAACCUAUCUUCCAGGUUAUAAUGGAUCAGCGCUUCCGUUCCUGCAGGCUGCCUACUGUGACAAGGGUAUCCCACACCCUAUCUUCCUCCUAUCUUUGCCUACGGUCAGAACGGGUACUUUCUUCCGCCUCCUGCGUACUUAUUUCCCCUUCGAGGACCUCUGGGCUAACUUUGGAAUAACUUUGGGUGUUUCAAAAUCCUACCUAUUAUCAGACGGGUUGAUAAUAGUUUCAUGCAGGAAUGAAAUGCUGAGCAUGAUAACAUGGAAGAAAAUUUGGAUAUAGAACAAGCCUAUAUAGGCUUUAAGUAAUUGGAAACGUACAUUGGAAGAUAGCCGUUCCCUUUCGGGAAGGCCUCGACUAAGCAAAGAAACUUUUGCAAGAACUCGGAGACCUCGGGCUGAACUUCUUCUUUAUUGCGAAAAGGAAAAUUUACAGGAUGGGAGUGAUUACAAGGGCGGUUUGCGGAAGAUCACAGCUUAAGGAUGCUUGUGAGCUUCUGAAAACCGGUGCCUACAACUAAUGCCGGAGUAUGGCUUAUAUAGCCAUCUCAAAAGAAUAAAGAUUACAUAAUUUUCUUGCGGGAGAAGAAAAGAAGAAUAUCCUUUUUUACCAAAAAAAAAAGUUCCUACUGGAUUCUGCUUAGGUGUCCAGGUUAUGCUCCGCGAUAGUGUCUAAAGACGCUGGCGUGGCUGGACUAUCGUGUUCUCUGUCUUCACGCUCUAAAGUAUUUCCACUAACACUUUCUUCACUGGAAAGAUGAGUGUCGUGAAAUCUCCGGUCCUGUGCUAUGGCCUCUUGCAUUAAAGCUUCUUUAACCAAGUCUCCCAUCAACUCUUUAAGCUGUUUCUUCCGGUGGAAAUUCUCUUCCCACAAAUCAAAUGACAUAAUCUCGGUCCUAUGAUUUAGGCUUUGGUCAAAGACGCACCAGUGUAAGGCCACGUUCCAAUAAACUCCUUCGCCAGAAACCUCGAGGCGGCUUUCAUCUAACUGGACUUGUAUCCUUCUCCAAGAUCCGGACAUGAGAGAAAAUAUUUCCACCUCCCAAUUUUCAUGGAGGCCCUCUACUAUUUUGUAGUCGUUAGAGCGAGAGUCAUAUCCAAAUCUAUAGAGUAACCCAUUUUGUCGAUAUAAAUCGGAAACAGGCAACUCUCUAUACUCCCCGGUGGGCAGGUUAUAUUUGACAAAAUUACAGCAAGUUGCUUAGAUGAGUAAAUGACUCCAAAAAUAGAACCGAUGCUCAAGGUAAGACCGACGGGAUAAAAAACUAUUACAAUGAAUGUAAACCGUACAAUAAACAAUGUGAUGAAACAGUUUCAUCUAGGUUUAACCUUUCACACCGAUUCACAUCAUGUAGGAUGUUGCCAUCGCCAACCCUUUGAAUAGAUAGCUUGCAUCUUGGUACAUGAAUUCAAUAGUUUAUUCCGUAAUCGAUUAGGGAAUAGCAUUAUCACUAUUUUCUUUAAAUGAAGAUUACACUACACAUUGAUACCAAUAGUAUGUUUAUCAAGCUAUGCGAAUGCAGCUCGAUGAGAGGAUGAGUCAUUUCCGAAAUCCUGUACAGCAAUAGUAUACAGAGUGCUCAAGAAGACAAAAUUCGAAAAAAGAAUGGAAAAGAAAAAAUACAAAAACAAAAGAGUGAUAAUCAUGUUAGACAUGAAAGGCCACCGAUGUUAACUACAGAAUUACAAGAUGGUUCAUCUUCGAAUUCAGUUUGCACAAAGCUUAAGUACGAGAAUAUCCACACUCCAGUGAAGCAAAUUGAAACUCAAACUCUACUUGUUAUCUCUUCUAGCAAAAUAAAGAUGAUUGAAUGGCAAUUCGUCAAGCAAACAUCUAACCCUACAUAUGGAGCGGACAGUGCUGAUAGCACUAUUAAGUUGAUAAACAACAGACUUUCAAUGCUCUUUAUUUCUUCUUCAAAAUCCACAAGAUCAUUCAACAGCUCCACUGACAAGACAGGGAGAAACAAGAGUUUCCAAAUAGAUUGCAAAUUCGAUAUUGCAGCCCCCAUCUAUGGGAUAAUCCUUGCAAGUAUUAUCCUCUGGAUUAAAUAGAAUCAUCCGCUUCAUAUCCAUCUGGAAAACGAUUUUCCACACCAUGUGUACGCGAGGGGGUCCUUCCUAAGGGGGGUAUUCCAAUUAAUGAAGGCACUGCAAUCAACACCGAACCAUUUUGUCCACGAUGCUCCUCUCCUGUACCCAUCUGUAAUCCAUGCCUCGAUACGGGGAUCACAGGCGCUGUCAUAUAUGAACAGAUUGGCCCCAUGAAUCCCGAGUCCCAGGAGAUGUACGUCCUCAUCGACUUUAAGGACUGGACGUACCGACGAAAUUCCUCUUCCAACAAAUCAAAUGACAUAAUCACAACUUCACACUUGUUGUCUAUGCUCCAGACAUGGCCGCACCAGUGUAAGGCCCCUUUCCAAUAAACUCCUUGGCUGUAAAUUAUGACAUCACUUUGUUCCACCUCCUGGAACUGGACUUCUAUGCUUCUCCACGAACUAGACUUGAGCGAAAAUAUUGCCACCUCCCAAUUUUCAUCACUAGAAACAUCUGCUGCUACUAUUUUGUUGUCAUCAGAUUAAGAGUCAUAUCAGAAUAUCUGACUUCACCAAAUGACUCAGUUUGAUGAACAAAACCAAAAUCGGACAACUCAAUAUACUCCCUGGUGGUCAGGUUAUGUAUAAGAAAAUUGCUAGGGCCAAACAUACCAGGCCAUCGGAGGACCCCACGAUGCGGGGCUUCCAGAAAGGUUUGAUCGGAUGAGGUACCACCAUGGGACCCUCACCGUCGUUUAGCGCUUCGUAGUUUACAGUCUCGAGCAGGCUCGAGCAGGCUCGAGCAGGCUUCUUUUAAUAGUAUUUUAAUAAUGUUUUCCAUGAUAUUAGUGGAUGUUAUUUGAACAUUCCCUUUUCUAUUUAUCUCAACAUUUCGUACAGAGAUUAUUAUAUUGGCAUUUUGCAAAUUUCCCAUAAUAUCAUUCAUAGAUCAAAGUGUCGCAUCUUAGUAGAUCAAAUACUCGUAUUUCUCUGACUUGUCCUCCCUUUUCUUAUGAGCUUUAUCGACGUUUUUUGUUUUUCUUAUUUUUGUGUUGGUCGACAACUAUAGGGCCUAGCUAACACCUCUUCAGAAAAGAUGAACUCGGGAAAUUGCACUUGGAAUGAAGGACACAAGCUGUACAUUAUUGGAAAAUAGACUUGAAGGCUCGUUGUGAUUCGUAGAUUGCAAUUGCAAUUUUUCGAGUUUAAUUAGGCCUUGAACCAAGCAGAAGAAACCAAGGGAACAAUUACCAAGAGCAUGGAUGAUGUGGAUUUUGAUAGGUUUGUAGGUUCUAGGCCCUUCAAGACCAUAGACUACAAAGCGCUGGACGGCUACAGCAGGUGGAAUUAUCGAUUUAGUUCCAAGGGAACUCCACUUGGUAAAGUGACAGUGAGGUAUUUUGAAGAAGUAUCUAAUCAACGAACAGAACUAAGGUAAAACUCAUGAGGUCAAAAACAUCACAAUGAUUUCAAAUUGUUCUACACACAUUGUGGUAAAAGGACAUCAUCCAGGCUAAAUCUGUCGCAUCGUAAUGCGUCAUCAUAUGUGGAUUUCAAUCAUUUAUACGACAAUCAACUACGAAAUUUCAAUAUCACCAGUUUCUUUAAUUGGAGAAACUACAAAUAUGGUUUGGUGCCAAUGGUACAUUUUUCAUGCCGUGCGAGAGUAGCCCGAAUAGAGGAUGGGUUAUUCACGAAAUCUUGUUCAACAAUAGUAUGCUGAUUAUUAACUACAGCAAGUAAAAGAUGGUUCUUACUCUAUUUCAGCUGGCACAAAGUCUCAAGUGUGUGACUUUUCUGGUCCAAGCGUAACGAAAAUUGAACUCUACUUUGUUGUCUCUCACAAAAGCUUAUUCUUCCUGUUUGAUGCAAUCUUAGUACUUCAUGAUUCCAUAGCACCAUCCUUCGAAGGCAAGCCAAGGAUUCGCAGAUUGUGAUCCAUCUAUCCGAUUGCAAUGUACUUUGAAUCCAGACGAACUUAACGCUUGUCAUUUUACCUACAAUUGCAACUAGAAUGAAUGUCACGUUUAGAGUCUCUUCAAUAACCAUCAUGUUUUUUUCUAUUUUUUUGUUCUUUUGUUCCCUAGAGCAUUAAAAGAAUAUCAACUAAUUUUUCUAUUUCUUGAAAAAGAAAAAUGAUCAGGGAAUAGAUUUGAAAUAAAACUAAAAAAAAAAAAAUUAUAUUUCAUUGUUUUUGAGAAUAGAAAUUGAUAAUUCUAUUUCUGAAUAGAAUUUGUUUCCGAGAAUAGAAACAUUACCAGAUGUACCACGUGCAAGAUUUCAAAGGAGGAGAAAAGUAGGAGGAGAGGCAGAGAUGACCUAUCCCGAAUAGACCAGGGAAAAACUUGAUACAAUUUACUCUAAUUUUAUACUUGAUAUACUCUGGCAAAGCACAAAAUAUUUAAGUUAUUCCCCAAAGCAGCUUGCACUACUAAACGAAACAGGAGGAAAGCAGUAUAACAAUACGUUGUGAUUCUAGACAUGCACUUCCACUGGACAGAAGAAUAGAAGAAUACAAAGUAUCUCGAUCUCGAAUACUUAAGAGGUGAAAUAAUCCUCCUAUUAACCUUACCAGAAAAAAAAAAUUUAAUCCUCCUAUUAGUGCAUAGAGUUAUGGUGCUCUCGGAAAAACUAUGGAAAUUUUAUGAGGGUAGAAAGGUUUCAAGAGAAUUCAGACUUUUGAAUUUCUCACUUUUUCUAACCUUAUGUUUGGUGGAAUUUUGUUAUAAGCAAAUUAUCAGAAACACACUUGCUUUCUUUUUUCAGAUAAUAUUUUCAGCUACUGGAGAAAUUGAAAAAAAGGCAAAUACAAUGAAAAUAAAGAACAGGUAAAUAUUCUGUAAACAAACACAUCCUUUAUUACCUUAUUAUUUUCAGAAUUUGCGUACAAAAUCUACCAUAGAAACUCACAUUAUAUUUGAGCCAGCAAGUGCAAGAUAACAUCCACUAUGAUCAAAUCCAACUGCAAAAUAAGAGAGAGACCCAGUCAUAGUUAUAUUUGCACAAAUAAUUUACACUCACUAAGCCAACCCUCCUCCCGCUUCCCUCUCCUCCCCUCCUUCCUCCCCUGUCUCUCUUUCCUUUUUCUUUUUCUUAUUUUUUCCCUUUGUAAAAGAAGAGAAAAUAGAACCAAUAUAAUGUAUAAUCUUCUUUGAGGGAGCUCUAUAGAAAAAGUUCACUCUUCAUAACAAAUCCAGGCAAACAAGGAGGCAUCCAUUGCUCACUGCCAUCCCAGAUCUACUUUCACUACAACAAGCAGGGCUAAGAGGGCUAAGAGGGUGUUAUACCAGAACCUGUCUCUAUGUCUUGUCAUAUGCUGAAAAUGUGCGAAAGUUCUUCAACUUCCGCAAAUCCCACAACUUAACCCCAACCCGAGCUUCAGUCUAUGAAAUAAAUGUCCAAGUCAUAUGGCAUGUCCAAAAUCUCUAUUGAUAAUAAAAGAGAGAUCAGAGGAACAUUUACCGCAAGGAAGUUUCCAUUCUUAGAGAAAGAUAUAGCAGUAAUUGCCCCGGUUGGCCAGAAAGUGUCGUAACAUUUGCCUGUUUCUAUCACACCCUGAAAAUAUCAUGAAGGGGGAUGACACAGCCGUCCUUCGACCUGAAGGACGCAAUCUCAAAGCUCCCAAAAUCCAACUCCUAAAAGUCCCCUCGUCGAUAUUGCUCUCGUAUUACUCAUCGUUAGCUGAGAAGCCUGAAAAAGAUUAGAAUAAUAAAGGGAUGAGCAACCAUAGGUUAGUGAGUAGUGCAUUUCUUCUAAAUGGAUUGAGCACCUACUAUGCAUAUUUAUAAACCAAACCGCAACUCUUUUAACUCAAAUACAUAAUAUAACAAACAUAAAAUAAGAGAAUAAGUCACAUAUGCUUUAACACAGCAGAUUCAUUUCACAAUAAUAUCAUAACAAACAUUAAUGGUCCAAUUCAUUGAUCAAUCUCAUUAAUUCACAUGCCAAUGGUCCAUUUAAUUGGUUAAUCUCAUCAAUGGUCUAAUGAAAUCAAACAUCGAUGGUUUAUUCCAACGACUAAUUUCAAAUCAUACGUCGAUGGUCCAUUUCAUCGACUAAACUCAAAUCAUAUGUCAAUGGUCCAUUCCAUAGACCAACUUCAUAUCACAUGUCAAUGGUCCACUCCAUUGACUAAGCUCAUAUCACAUGUCAAUAGUCCAAUCCAUUGACCAAUCUGUUGCUCAAUAUCAAAUCAUGGUCACGACACAACACUUAGUGACAACGUGACCAGGAUUUCCCCCUUAGCAAGGUCUCCACCUAUUAUUAACCAAUGGUUCGGCCCACAAGGGUAUCCUAGAGUAAGCAUCUUACUAGGCAUACAACGAUAUUAAGAAUCAACACCAAUCUACAACAACCUCCAUAAUUUACAAAGCCAGAUCCAAAAAUCAUUUCAUAUGUCAUAAUAUAUUUAAUAAAUCAACCACAUAACCUUUCGCAACUCAAUUUAUUCGCUACAAAUACUUUUUGUAAAAUAUUUCUCAAAUCAUUUUAGAACUCAUCUCAUAAACCAGUUUUACAAUCCAAAUCAAAUCAAAUGCUUGUCAAAAAGCUUAUCACAAAUCGAUUUCUAUAUUAACAUUCCAUAUACCAUCUCAAAGUUGACAUUUUCGUAAAAAAAAUUUCACAGACCCAAAAUAUGUCAUAUUUCUCAGCUUCGUUCAUCAAACAUAAUAUAUAUUUCGAUCGAAAAGUUCUCACUCUAUUUUCAAAUACCAAAACGUAGUAAAUAUCUGAUUCAAAUUUUAUGCAACAAAAAUGCUUAUUCAUAACUCAUAAAAUAUCAAAUCUUUAUCAUUUUAAAGACACGAGCUUAUAAAUUCUUAGAAGAAAUAGCACCACUCAUUUGGGAAAGCCGAAAAUCAACUUAUGUUGGUUACUCAAGCCAACACAUUCGUAUUCCUAUCAAUUAAUCAAAAACAAUAUCCAAACCAAGUAAUAUGCUACUCUCCAACUAAAAACUCGAUUAAAUUAUGCUUAUUCAUCGAUAAAACGAUACCUACGUGCUAAUAAACCACAUAUUCAAAGCGAUCAUUUAAGCUGUCCGCAAUGUGAAACUUGAGGGCGAAAAUUGGUCACCUCGUAACUUUCUCUACCGAACCCCGUUUCAAGCAUACUUAUAGUCAAUGGAAAGCCCUUCCAACAUAUUACAAGAACCCCAAUUUAGCCAACCUGAAAUCAAACAAAAAUCAACAAAAUAUGGUCCCAAAAUCCCGGUCGUGCUCUGUUCAUCAUGCAUGAUAAACUUUAAAAUUUUGUUUCCAGCAAACCGUAAGCUCAAAUUACGAUCCGUAAAAUCUUACAACUCCACAACACCCUAAAAUAUAAUUUCUCUAAAAAUACAUGGCUCAACGACUCAAAAAUCAUACUUCGCCACUCUAUUUUCCCAAAAUUCUGAAUUUCAAGCCCUAAGUCCAAACUUAAUUCGAUUGAAUGAAUCGCAGGGGGGCAGGGGCACAGGCACGGGUUCUUACCAGGCGUUGCAUUAUAUGGUUGAGGUGGCUUGGCAAGGCUCCCAUGGCGACAACGCAUGAAACCCUCUUUUUCUCCAUUUCCUUCUUCUCCUUCUCCUUUUCUUUACUUUCUUUCCCUUACACAAGCUCUCUGGUCUCCCUUUCUCUCUCUCCUUCUUUUCCCUUCUCUCUUUCCCUUUUUAUUUCCUCCUUUCUCUUUUUAUUUCUGUCUUUUCUUUUCUUUCCUUCUCUCUCUCUCUCUCUCUCUCUCUCUCUCUCUCUCUCUCUCAGUUUUCUGACUGGGUCAAAACUCAUAUUUUACAAUUUCAAAAUGAAAAACAGCUACAAUAGCAUGUUGCCCUACCUAAAAUGGAUAGAAGAGGAACAAUAACUGCGAAAGAAUAAAACAUGAGAAGAAGGCAGAUUCGUGGAGGUGAUUGACUUGUCUCAAAAUGAUCAAGCAAGAUUGUUGAGCUAUAACCAUGAAGAACUAAACUUACUGGAACAAUCUGGUGAAUACAAAAAUGAGGAUGCUAGUUGAAUCAUGGCAUAUGGAAUUCUGCUACUUACAUUUUCCCUCCUUUUUUCUAACAACAUGCCAAGUUGGCAUAUUGCGACUAAAUUGACCAUGAGGAACAAAAGCUGAAAAUAGACCAAGGAAUACUGCACAUGCAAAUCGUCAGGGUGGGAUGCAAGAUUGUCAUAUCAUAUUUUAUGGGGUAAGUAUACUAGAAGUGCCAAAAGUUUAUUUUGGGUCACUUAAGUGUCAAAAAGUUUGAAAAAUCAUCAUUUCAGUGGCAAUGUCAAUCUGAUUGGCUGGAAAUCCAAUGACACUUUUUUUAUUAAUUUUGAAGUCAACAUGGUUCGUCAGAAAGUACAAUCAACAUGAAAACAACAAAACAACACCGUUUGACAUCUUUCCCCAAGUAAGAACCCUAAAUCUCCAAAUUCAAAUAGAACCGGAAGUUAAAACUCUAACUGGCUAAUCCAGCGCCUACUUCAAUUUUCUCCCAAAAUUAUUAGCUCGAUCUUGCAAAUGAAGGGCAGAAGCCCUAGUAGCAGCUCACAUUCGUUCCAAAAAAGUGAAUUGGAUGGUGAGUGUUACUAUUGUUGCGAAUUACUCAGUUUGAGAAGAACAUAUUGGACUCGGUUCAAUUUGAGGAGAAGAUUCCAUGGGUGCAGGUAUAGAGAAGGCUCGAAAUACAAAUAUUUCAAAUGGGUUGAUAUGAAAUUCUUUGGUUGAGCGACAAAAGUGAUCUUUGAGCUAUUUGAAGGCCGACAUCAACCUCCACCUACAUUAAUGGACAAGUUAGAGAAUGUCGACUCAAUGCAAGCUCAAAUGAAGGUUUAAUUAAAGCUACUCAAUUCAACCUAAUCACAUCAUCGAGUGUCAAUGACUCAAGAAAUGGCAAAACAUGGGCUAAAUGAAGACAAGAGUGAACAUGAUCCACCAAUAUAUAGUCUAAGGGGCAAUUUUCCCCGCUUAAGGUUACCAAAGCAAACAAAUAGUUAAAUAACGCCAAUAGUAUGUGGAUUCAAUAGUUUAUUCGGUAAUCGAUUAGGGAUUAGCAUAGCAUUAUCACCACUUUCUUUAAUUGGAGACUACAUUGUGCUUUAAUGCCAAUAGUAUGUUUGUCAAGUUGUGUGAGUGUAACACGACGAGAGGGUCAUUUCUGAAAUCUUGUAUAGUAAUAAUAUACUGAGUAUUCAAGAAGGCUCAAUUCAAAAGGAGAAGGCAAAAGAAAAGAGUGAUAAUCAUGUUAGGCAUGAAGAGCCAUCAAGGUUAACUAUAGUAGUACAAGAUGGUCCAACUCAGAUUCAGCUAUCACAAAGCUUAAGCGAACUCUGAUUUUACAAUGGCAAUUUGAUAUACUCAGGUAAAGCACAAAAUAACAGCUCCCAAAAUAGCUAGCAUUACUAAAACGACAAAGGAGGAAAGUUGGAAUUACAGCCGGCCCUGAUCCAGGUCAUACAUUUCCACUGGACAUAAGGAUAGAAGUUUAAGAGAAUUCUACGUGAAAGUUGCCGCACAGACCUUUUAUUUUACUCCUUCUAAAGAGUAAUGGCAAGUGACAUAUGACAGUAAUGGCAAGUGACUAUGACGGUGUCAUAUGCGCCUAGAUUUUUGGCGACAUGCAAGGAGAAGUGUUUGGUGGCAUGCUAGAAUGCCCCUCAAAACCUAAAGCGAAAAGGAAAAGUUAAUGUAUUUGUUGUCAUUGUAUUUGCAAUCAUAUUCUGUUCGGUCUUGAUUAAGAUAUUUUAGUCUUCUUUCUCGAUUUGAAGCCUCCCGUUAGUAAUGGGUCCUUGUUUACUUGUAGGAGACAAACCAAACAUUUGCAGUCGAAACCUUAUAUGGGCAACCAAGAUUAUUUCGACCAACUUAUAAGUACCCACUGGUCAUCAUGCAACUUGUAUUUUACCCUUGCGGAGGUUGUCAGAGUAGGAUAUCUUCACGGAAGAAUAUCAUACUUUCCUUUUGCCUUGAAUAAUGGUCCGCCUAUGGUAUAAUUGAUCAUAUUGAUCCAAGUAAAAAGGACAACAAAAGAGCAAAAUUAUGUUUAAUAUGCAUUGACAGGUUUGACUCUUUAGCAUCCUAGAUUUUUCAGGAUCUGCAGUUUUGAAACUCGGCAUUAUUAAGAUCUCCAAAUCCUCUAGUUGAAUAAGAUCUCAAUAGACUAUUCUAAUUUUCUACUGCAAUAGCCAGACACCCAGAAUCAAUGCAACGGAUCUCUUAUUCUUACACAGAAUUUACUCAUCUUAAUUACAUUUACUGUGUCUCUAAUCAACUAUUGCAGCUACAACAACAAGGACUAAUUGUAGCAUUCAGUUCAGUGCUGAAUCUGUACAAAUCGAGAGUAAACUUGAAGCUACUCAGUCCAACCUAAUCACAUCAUUGACUGUCACUAGCUCGAGAAAUGGCAACACAUGGGCUAAAUGAAGACAAGAGUGAACAUGAUCCACCAAUAUACAAUAUAAGGGGUAAUUUUCCCCGCUUAAGGUUACCAAAGCAAACAAAUAGUUAAAUAAUGCAUGGACCAAAAUGAUGCUCUUAGCAAGGGCCUAAAGCAUGUGAAGGAUUAACCUAAUAAUGAAACAGAAAUAGUGAGGACAACCAGUUGCACUGCAUGUGGGAGUGAGAUAAAUGAUAAGUUACUCACGCUCAGAAAUACUACAUCAUAUUGUGAUCUCAAGACAAUUUAUAGCUGUAUAAGCAUAAUAACUUCACAAAUUAUAAACUAUCUUUCCUUAAACUGAAAUUAUGCGAAUGUUUGGGAUUCGUGAUGUUAAGUGUCAUGACUCAAGGGCAUGACCUUUGUCUUAAGCGAUUGAAAAGUAUAUUAAAGAUAACUUCAAGUGAUGAGUUUCAUAAUUCCCACUUAGACAGAAUCCUUAUCUGAAAUCGCAUCAACUAAAUUUCUACAUGGGAUACUUGUUCUCAAAUACAUCACUUUAUGAUAUGAAGUAAGAUAAUUGCUGGUUUUCUUGAUUAUGUGCCAAUAGGUACUACUACAUAUGCAUGAAUGACUCACUAGCACUUGGUGGUGGAUGCAACUUUGCCCUGUCCUUAAAUGGAGAUAUGUAAGUUGUCAUUUACAAAUUUCCAUUUUUCCAAUAAUCGAGAUACUUGACUCCUUUUCAUGAUAGAUUGUUUGUAUACCUUUCUAUUUUGAUGAGACUGGGAUCUUAUCAAUAGUAAUUACAUUCCUAUAAUCUGCCUUUGAGGUGACUUCUUCAGGAGGAGGUAGAGCGGGUACUUUAGAUGUUAGGAAGGGAGGAGUUUCUGGGAUAACGUCAUCAGUUUCAUCAGAGGGAGGGCUGCCUUCAUAGAAAGUCCUCCAGUAUGGACUAUUCUGCUUAACUUCAGCUCGCAACCAGUGACCGAAGGCCAUCUUCUCCUUACCUUCCAUCUUGGCUUCAGUGAAAGGUAUGGUUUGACAAUACAUGGCAUAAUGCCCUAUUUGUCCACAUGAAUAACAAAAAUGGGGAAGCCAUUUAUAUCGGAAGUCUAGCCAUAAUGCUUUGCCUGCAAUAUGAAUCAGUUGCCCUGUUUUUAAGGGAUCACUUAGGUUAAAUUCCACCCUGACACAACCCACUUUCGAAGUUGUUCCUUCUUUGGUAUCAAGCUUAACUUCCAACAUUCUUCCAAUGCUUCUUAUAGCUCUGCUUAACAUCUGAGUUGUGCACCAUUCUAGGGGAAGGCCAAAUACUUGAACCCAGAAUACACAUUUAGAAAAAUCAUAACAGUGGAGAGGAGUAUUCGGCUUCCAGGGUUGAAAAAUCACCAAAUUAUUAGAGAAUCGCCACAGUCCUCCCUCUUCUACUCUCUGUUUAUCACUCUCUAACUUGAAUUUAGCCACAUAGAUAUCCAUUUCUUGUUGAGAGAUUUGCACAUGAUCUGUACGCCAAGCACGCUGCAUUGUAUUCUAGAAUGCUGGUAGAUUAAUAAGGGAGUCUGAGAAAACCUUACCGACUAAUAUCCUUUGACAUUCUUCAAUUUUUUCCAGGGGUGGCGACUCAUCCCAGGUAUCGAUUUCCUGCUCUGACCAUAAUCGACCCAAUCUAUUACAAAGGCAUGCUUUCUGUUCCUGUUCAGGAUAGUCCAUGAUGAAAGGUCUCAGUUCAGAAAUCAGAGGAGGUAAGGACUGGAGUCGGCAUGCAAAGAGUAGUAGAUUAUUGGCUAUGUGGUUGAUAGAGGAUUAACGAAACUGAUAGAGACAUUGGGGUAAUUCAACAAACAGGUAACGAUCAUAAUUUUGCAGCUGAAAAAAGGAAAGAAGCAAGCGGAAUUGAUGGCUGAGAUAAUUGACAAGAGCAAAAGCAACACCAUCAUCGAUGCAACACAGCAGGGAAUUUGGUUGGGCUAAGAGGAUUCUAUAAAGGAAAUUGCGGGGAAGGUCAAGUUGGUAAACGAAAAUUCAUCGCAGUUGGGAGGGAAGCUUGUUAGAGAAGAAACGCUCUGAGGCACCAAGGAAGCAGAAAAACGGAGCUAUGAUUGCAAAGGGAAGGGGUAGACGAUAACUACAAGGUCACACAGGAAAGAGAUGGGAUUAAAAGUGAAAAUAAGGGUUCAGAAACAGAUACGAUGAAAAAAAAAAACUACCAUUGUUGGUAGAGGGAGGCUCUGCAUGUCAAGAGAGGACCCCAUCGAGGUUUCUUGUUGUGAGUUUUGUUAUGAAUAGGUUAAGUGGGAACAAGUGGACCUGUGAAACAUUUGGAAGCUUAUGUCUGGCUCACAACCCAAAGUUCGAGUUGAAGAAUGUUGAGGUAACAAGCUAAAAUGUCCAAGCUUGCCUUCAAUUGCAAUCACUUCAUGUUGUUGGGAUAGACUUCAUCGGAUGAAGCGUUUGAAUUGAUGCACGACUUGCAAUUUGCAUAGGCCUUAAAUACAUCUUUUAACUUGAUUUUUUCUGACAAAUUAGUUUUGUCUAAGGAGGUUGCUGACCUUGAUGUACAAAGGUGCAUGAAUAAUCUGUUGAACUCUGUGUGUGGGAAAAGAUAAGUGAAUUAGAUUGGCUAUCUCAAUAGAGUUGAAUGUGCUAAGAAUUAUUGUCUUGCUUGCUUUAGGUUUCACAUUUUAUGUGGAUCUUACCGCCUUGGAGGAUAAGACUUUAACUAAAUUGCAAGUUCCGUUGCUAAUGUUCACUUGUCAUCUACAUCUAUGAAGAAUAGGCUCCACAUUUCGUAUUAGCAAUCCCAUUGUCUCGUUUUUGGUGCAGUUAUGGGGCUUCACUCACUCAUCACGCCAUACUACAAGACCUGAAGUUGCAACAAGGCCUGCUCGCGCCGCUCUCCUCUGAAGUUCAUUCUUUAUUGUUUCAAUUUUGCCUAAAUAUAUCCACAUCUAUCCUCAGAAUUCUGUAGCCAAAUAGGUCUAUUUAUAUUACUUGUUGAGGCACCCUUCCAGGUAUGUGAUGGGGCGAAACGGCUGAUUGUACCGGUUACUUGAGACUUAUUCCUGUUUAAACUCAUUUCAACUUCAAAUGAAGCUUGCUUUCUAAGAGUCAGGAAUUCUUGUGGGUGUGCGCGGUCAUUUCUGUAAUCUGUUUUCUGAAAUGUGUGGAUUAAUAGAGAAGAGAAGAAUCGAUGGCAUGCAGACUAAUAUACCUGAGUGGUUCUUGUUUACCCAGAGGGAAUUUUACUUAGAAUUAGCAAUCUGUUCAUAAAGUCAAAUCACAAGAACAAGAGAUCCCUAAUUACAACAGGGUACAUAGAGGAGUAUCUAAGUCCAGAAACAAAAGCAGGCUUUCAAGGUUAAACCAAUGGGAUGAAAAACUAUUACGAUAAAUGUACACAGUUCUAUGAACAUUGCAACGAAAGAGUUUCACCUAGGCUAAACCUUUCGCAACAUUUCACAUUACAGCGGGAUUUUGCCAUCACCAUCCCUUUGAGUAGAUAACUCGCAUCUUGGUACAUGGAUUCAAUAGUUUAUUUGGUAAUUAGGGAAUAACAUUAUCGCCAGUUUCUUUAACUGGAGACUACAUUGUGCUUUGAUCCCAACGGUAUGUUUAUCAAGCUGUGCGUGCAAAUGCAGCCCAAUGAGGAUGGGUCAUUCCCGAAAUCUUGCACAGCAAUAGUAUACUCAAGAAGGCAAAUUUCAAAAAGAGUCGCUGAUCUUGACUAUAGUAUUACAAGAUAGUUCAUCCUCGAAUUCAGUUGCACUAUCCACAUUCCAGUCAAGCACAUUAAAACUCAAACUCUACUUACCAUCUCUCAUUAUUCUAGCAAACCAAAGAUGACUGAAUGGCCAUUCAUCGAGAGCAGACAUGAAACCCUACAUCUGGACAGAGUACUAAAAGCACGAUAAACUUACUAAAGAAUAGACUUUCGACACUAUUUUUUUCUUCAAAAUCCACAAGAUCAUUCAACAGCUCCACCGCCAAGGUAGGGAGAAACAAGGGUUUCCAAAUAGAUAGCAUAUUCGGUAAUAAGGUCCGUCCCUAAGAGAUAUUCCCUGCAAGUAUUAUCCUCCGGAUUAAACAUAAUCAUCCACUUCCUACCCAUCAAAAAAACAAUCUUUUCACUCCUUGUGUACGCAAGGGGAAUCUUCUCAAAGGGCGUAUUCAAGGCACUGCAAUCAACACUUAACCAUUUUUUCCACGGUGCUCCUAUCCUGUACUGAUCUGUAAUCCAUGCCUCAAUGCGGGGAUUUUGGGCAUUAUUGUAUAUGAACAGAUUCGCCCCAUGAAUCUCGAGUCCCAGGAGUAGUAUGCCGUCAUCAACUGCAGGGACUGGAAGCACCUGGUGAAAUUUCUCUUCCAACAAGUCAAAUGACAACAUCGCAGAAAAGCCCUCACCAUUCGUGUUCCAGACAUAGACGUCCCAGUGUAAGGCCCCUUUCCAAUAAACUGCUGGGCCGCAACAUUCGACUCCCUCUUCUUGGAACGGAACUUCUAUCAUCAUCAUCCUCCAGGAACAAGAUUUGAGCGAAAAUAUUGCCACCUUCCAAUUUUCAACUUCAACAACAACAUCCCCUACUACUAGGGCUAUUUUGUAGUCAUCAGAUUGAGAGUCAUAUCCGAAUCCAUAGAAUGAAUCAUAUCUGGCUCCACUACUGAAAUACAUAGCAUGAUCAACAAAAUCGGAACUGGGCAACUCAAUAUACUCCCCGGUGGUCGGGUUAUAUAUGACAAAAUUGGAGGGGCCAAGUAAACAUACAAGGCCAUCACAGGACCCCACGAUGCGGGACUCCCACAAAGGUUUGAUCCCAUGAGGUACCACCAUGCGACCCUCGCCACCGCCGUCGAGCGCUUCGUAGUCCACGGUCUUGAGGGGGCUGUUGCGGCCGCCGAUGAUGAUUCUCUGGCUAGGGAUCAAAUCCGCUGCCUUCACCCUCUGCAGAUGCGACUUGGCGAAGGCCCGGUCGGAGAUCAGAGACCGCCAGCGCUUGCAGACGCAUUUGAAUCGCACCAGCGACUUCGCCGGUAGCCUCAAGAGUAUGUCGACGACGACAUCCUCGGGUAUACUUUCGGCCAUUGUUUGGGCAAAACGGAAACAGGAGGGAUCUCGGACGCGGUCGAUUGGGUCAGCGAUGGCCCGUAGCCGGCUUUCUCGAGAGGUCCCAAGGCCACCGCCGGACACGGGCGGAGGGGGAACUCGCCGGCGUGGGCGGCGGUCGCGCGGUGGAGCCCAGCAGCUGGGCGGAGGCAAGGCGGAGGAGGAGGAGGAGAAGAGAGCUGGCGUGGAAUUUUCAAUUGAACAUAUUCCCAACUUUCCUGAAUUUUAUGAAACCCUAGAAAUUGCAGCCUUAUUAUAUUAUAUGAUACGUUGUCUCGUUUUGUCCAUUUCCCAUAAUAUCCUUCGCAAGACAAAGCGUCCCAUCAUGGCAUGGAAGGGCCACAACGUACAUUCAGACUUUAUUUCUCUCUCCAUAUGGAUCGACAAAAGUUUGGUGGCGACAUGCACGGAUCAGUGUUUGGUGGCAUGCUAGAAUGUCCUUUAAAACCUACAUCAAAAAGGAAAUAUGAGAUGAUGCGUAAUAUUCUUGAUUUUGUUGUCAUUGUAUUCGCAAUCAUCUCAAUCUUGAUUGAGAUAUUUUAGUCUUCUUUCUUGAUUUGAAGCCUCCUUAUUUACUCAUAGGAGACAAACCUGUUUAUUUUCACAAUCUAAGAUGGGCAACAAAGAUUGUUUCGACCAACUGGCAGAUACUUUUGGUCAUCACACAACUUAAGUUUAGCCACUGGAGAGGUUGUUUAAUAGGAUAUCUUCAAGGAAGAAAUAUCAUACCAUCCUUUUGUUUUGAAUAUCGGUCCUAUCUAUGGUCUAAUUGAUCACUCUAAUCCAAGUAAAAAGGAGGACAAAAGAACAAAAGUAUCUUUAUUAUGCAAUGACUGGUUGGCUCUUUAGCAUCCUAGUUUCCUCAUGAUAUGAAGUUCUGAAUUCAGCAUUAUCAAGUUCUCAAAAUCCUCUAGUUGAAUAAGCUUUGGGAAACACAUUGAUAUGACUACAUAUGCAUGAACAACUCAGUAAAACUUGGCCGUGGCGUCAAAUUCACCUUCUCCUUAGAAAGAGAUGCGUAAGUUGUCAUAUUUACCAAUGUCCAUCCUUGCAAUCCCAUGCAAGAGGUCCGUUUUAAUUACCUUUUGUGUCUUAGGUCGAAAAGGUUAAGUGGAACCAAUGGAACUCGUGAAAAAUUCGUGAACUUGCGUCUGGCUCAAAACCCAAAAUUUGGGUUGAAGAAUGUUGAGGUAGCUUUAGCUAAAUCUCCAUGCCAGCCUUCAAUUGCAGAUCACUAGAUGAUAUCGAGAGUGACACUCUCUAAUGAAGCACUCGAUUUUAUGCAUGAACUGCAAUUUGCAUAGGCCUUUAAUUCUGACUACCAAUUGUACUUUUCAACUAGUUACUUUUAACUGUGAUGGGGCCAAAUGCUGAUUGUAACCGCAAGUUAUUUUCGUUAUUAUCAAAUAUGAUGAGGCAUAGAUUGUUACUAACCAUGAAAAUAUUAUUUAUGAGCUCAUUCUUCUAAGCGACGAUAACGAUCAAAAUUUGGAAUAUACUUUUUGAAUUAUCGAUUUUCCCCAAAACAAACUGAGCCCCUAAAAGAUUUUUGAUCUUAGUUACACCCAUGAAGAGAUUAUAGCAGUGCUUAUAGAAUUCAUUUUUGAUAAACUAAACGAAAUUAAUAAACUGCAAAUUCGAUUUCUGUCAUGUCCAUGAACAAUCAUGUAAGGGACGUAUGCACAAACACCAUAUUGAAAUGUCUGCUCAAGAGCUCAUGUAAGAGGUCGCUCUCUGUGAUCUUCGAUCCAUGAUUCACCACACUACAUCUCAAUAGAUGGAUGCAGAAGAAUUCGACGUCUCACCGAAAGAUCCUAAUCCUCCUUCGACCAUCCGAGAUCGGUGGGCUUGGAGAAAGUCCUUCGUGGGAUCAAGGACACUGCAAUCGCUGCGCUCUAUCAUCCACUUUCAGGUACAAGCUCCGAAUAUUCGGGAGUCCAGCAAAAUCCCAAAUCCAAAUGCUAAUAGUAUACAAGGUUGGAAUUUUGUGGACUUGGCUACGAUUGCUCAUCGGACCAUUAUAAAUUCCUGAGCAGGUUCCCUGCUCUGCUGCUCAGUGAAUAAGCAGAUUUAGCUUGUCAUCUAAUAGGUGCUUAACCUGAAGCUUCUGCUUUCGUCUGAAUUAUGGUCAAGGCUUUGUGGAAACCUACUCUUACAGUUCUCAUGUUAGAAUUGUGUCUCUCUCGUUCCAUUGUAACAAAAUCACUAGAUAUGUGCUUGCUUUAACAUUCACAUGAUUCAAGCAAAACAGAGAUGAUUGAAUAGCCAUUCAUCGAGCAGAGAGCUAACCUUAUAUCUGGAGAGGACAGAAAAGUAGGCACAAUGGUGAAGCUACUGGCGAAUGACCAUAACUCAUGGACUCUCGACACUCUUUUUUCUCUUUUUCAGAAUUCACAAGAUCAUUCAACAGCUGAAGAUGGCCAGAUCUCCCCAAAAAGCAAACUUGAAAGAAAAGGGUAAAACCAAAUCCACUAGGACAACUUGUAAAAGGCACUAGAUUAUUGAUGGCCCAGAGCCAAGAUAGGGAGGAACAAGAGUUUCCAAAUAGAUAGCAGAUUCAACAUAUCCAUCCUUCCUCCGGAUGGGAUAAUCCUUACAAGUAUUAUCUUUUGGAUGAAUAGAAUCAUCUUGCCCAUUUCAAUUAGAAAAACAAUUUUUCCACUUCUUGUGUAUGCGACUGGGAUCGUCUGCCAAUAUUUGUAGCCAGGUAUUCUUUUAGUUGAGACAUUGAACCAUUUAGUCCACCAUUGUCCUCUCCCGUAUUCAUUCGUUAUCCACACCUCGAUGCAAUCAUUAUUACGAGUGUCUCGGUAUAUGAACAGAUUGGCCCCAUGAAUUCCAAGUCCAAUGAAAAGUACGCCUCCAUCAACUUCAGGGACAGGAAGCACCUGGUGGAAUUUCUCUUCUGACAAAUCAAAUGACAUAAUUGCGUUCUCUUUCUUGUUUAUGCUUAUGUCAAUAACGCACCAGUGUAAGGCCCCAUUCUAAUAAACUCCUCGGUUGAAAUAGUCGGGACAGCUUUAUCGUUGGACUUGUAUCCUUCUCCAAGAACCGGACUUGAGCGAAAAUAUUGCCUCUUGCUACUUUUUAAAACCACCAGCCUGUACUAUUUUGUAGUCGUCAGAUCGAGGAUCAUAUCCGAAUCCAUUGACUAACGCAUCUUGUUGAACAAGAUCAGAGCAGGGAAAAUUCCUAGACUCCUUGGUGGUCGGGUUAUAUAGGAAAAACCUGCCGGGAACAAGUAAACAUACCAAGCCAUGGCAAGACCCCACGAGGUCAGGCUCCCAGUAAGGAUCGCCAAUUCUCAGCUCAUGAACCUUUACCACCGCGAGAUCGUCAUCACCACCGAUGCCACCGUCGUGCAAUUCGUAGUCUAUGCUCUCAAAGGGGCUGGUUUUGAAGAUUCUCUGGCUAGGAAUUGAAUCCCUCGCCAUUAGCCUUUGCAAAUGCGACUUUGCAAAACCCGGGUUGGAAAUUAGAGACCGCUACCGUUUACCGACACAUUUGAAUCGCAUCAACGACUUGGCUGGUAGCCUCAAGAGUAUCUCGAUGAGGAUAUCCUCGGUGAAAAUUUCUGCCAUCACGGAGGCCUAAUCCUUUGCUGACCAAGGUUCAUCUAAGGAAGCGUUCACUCAAAGUCGCGCAAGAAUAAUUCUAAGCGAAGAAGCUUACCCAGCACAGAACAAGACGAGGGUUAACCAUAUCUUUUUGCCACGUGGGGCGCAAAAUGGAAACAAGAGAUCUCGUACCAUGGGCACGCUCGACGCCAGAAUGAGGUCGACUGGAGUCCAGCAGCGCCGUAUAUGGUGGCGUCGAGCGGCAGCGGCUCGGCGGAGAGGCAAACGGAGGAGAGUAAGGGGAGGAAGAGAGACCGGGUGUGAGGUUAUCAAAUGGACGAAUUCACACUGUUUUUUUAAUUCCAGGAAACCCUAGAAAUUGAAAUUGGUACAGUUGAAUUUCUUAUAUUAUAUAAUAUGCCGUCUCACUUUGUGCAUUUCCCAUAAUAUCCUUCACAAAACAGGUGCCGUUUAGUUGUUUUCGCCUAUAUACCCUGUCAGCUAAAAUUAGUUUUCUUGUUGGCUAGCUGAGUUUGCCAACUGGAAAUUGUUGGCACUUGGCAAGUCUCACCUCUAUUAUUUCUCACUCGGUCUUUGUCAACUGAAAUAUCGGUCAAGGAUAAGGAUUUCUUUUGGUGUCAAUACAUACCUCUUUUCAAAAGAAUUUUAUGAUUUUCAAUUCUUCUGAAUAUUUGCACACAAUCAAUUGAACAAUGUGCAUUUAAUGAUGGUAACUUCUCAUAUUAUAUCUUCUCGUGGCAUGUUCCCUGUCACAUCCUUUCGAGAAGCCUUGAAAACGUAUUUAUUUGGAUGACGUGUACUGAAGCAAAGGUUGCACCUUUACAUCAUUCUUUACCAUCUGAAUCGUCUUCGAGCUUUCACUUUCAAGCUUUUCCGUCGCCUUUACCACUAGAGAUUCAACCUUCUCUCCUUGCCGCGUGAAAUGUAUGUCUCUCGGUUUACCAGUCCCCACAGGCUUGCGCAAGCUUUCGCUAGAAUUCAUGGACAGGCCCAAAGAUGAUACCGACGAAACCAUUCUCGGUUUCAUAUUCUAAAUCACUUUCUGUUAUGGCGACCAUUGAUCAAUUUUUUCCUCCUCAUCCCUAUUUUCUGGGAUUUCAUCUCUAAACAAGCUUGGUCGAAAAUAACUAAUUGACUCAUGGCAUUUCCAGCUUUCGAUUAACAAUUUCUUCGGUGGUUCUCAAAGUCGAAGCCUCACAUGCUUUCCAUAUGGAAUCAUUCAAUACUUGAUUUGGCUUUGGAAAUCCACUACUUAUCUAAAAUUUAGAAUUUAGUUUGCUAGGUACCUAGCAACCAAGAUUGUUUCGACCAACUGAUAGGUACCCGUUGGUCUUCAUGCAACUUUAAUUUGACCUUUAUAGAGGUUGUCGGAUUAGGAUAUUCUCACGGAAGAAUAUCAUACUUUCCUUUUUGCCUUGAAUAGUGGUCCGUCUAUGGUAUAAUUGAUCAUAUUGAUCCAAGUAAAAAGGACGACAAAAGAGAAAAAUUAUGUUUGAUAUGCAUUGACAAGUUUGACUCUUUAGCAUCCUAGAUUUCUUAGGAUCUGCAGUUCUGAAAUUCAGCAUUAUUAAGAUAUCAAAAUCCUCUAGUUGAAUAAGAUCUCAAUAGAUUGUUCUAAUUUGCUGCUGCAAUGGCCAAAGGCAUGGAACUAAUGCAACGGAUCUCUUAUUAUACACUAAAUUUACUCAUCUUAAUUAUGUCUAACAUGUCUCUAAUCAACUAUUACAACUACAAUGAGGACUAAUUGUAGCAUUCAGUUCAGUGCUGAAUCUUUACAAAUUGAGAGUGAGCUUGAAGCUACUCAGUUCAACCUAAUCACAUCAUUGAGGGUCACUGGCUCAAGAAAUGGCAAAAGAUGGGCUAAAUGAAGACAAGAGUGAACAUGAUCCACCAAUAUACAAUCUAAGGGGCAAUUUUCCCUGCUUAAGGUUACCAAAGCAAACAAAUAGUUAAGUUACGCGUGGACCAAAAUGAUGCUCUUAGCAGGGGCCCAAGGCAUGUGAAGGAUUAACCUAAUAAUGGAACAGAAAUAGUGAGGAUAACCAGUUGCCCUGCAUGUGAGAGUGAGAUAGAUGAUAAGUUACUCACGCCCAGAUAUACUUCAUCAUAUUGUGAUCUCAGGACAAUUCAUGACUCAAGGGCUCUUAUGAAAUUGAAAAGUAUCUUAAACAAGAACUUCUUGUGAAGAGUUCCACAAUCCGCACUUAGACAGGAUCCCUAUCUUAAACUGCAUCAGCUGAAUUUCACACAGGAUACAUAUGUUCUCAAAUCUGGUGAUAUAUUCUUCACUUUAUAAUUUGCAGCAAGAUAAUUGACCUCGUUUUCUUCACUACAUGCCAAUAAAUACUACUACACAUGUAUGAAUGACUCACAUGAUUAUAGUUAAAUGUUCAUCACAUAACAAGACCCAAUAAAUUGUUGGUGAAAUUACACCAAAUCAGAUCGGACAACAUUAGCUAGUGAAGUGAAUAUUCCAGCAAAACAAAAAUGAUCGAAUGGCCAUUCCUCAAGCUACAUCUAGAGUGGACAGAGUACUUAAAGCACAACGAAGUUAAUAAAGAAUGACCAGAUCUUAUAAUAGACUUUCAACACUCUUUAUUUCUUCUACAAAAUCUACAAAAUCAUUCAAUAGCUCCAGAUGGCCAGAUCAUUAAACUAGAAAACAAAAAGGUAAAAUUAAAAGCACCAAAAUGACUCUUAAAGGCUCUGGAUUCUUGAUGGCUCACUGCGAAGAUAGGGAGAAACAAAAGUUUCCAAAUAUAUAGCAUAAUCGGUAUCGCAGUUGCUCCCCAUGGGAUAAUCCUUGCAAGAAUUAUCCUCAGGAUUAAACAAAGUCAGCUUCAUAUCCAUCUGAAAAAUGAUUUUUCCGCUCCUUGUGUACGCAAGGGGUUUAUUUGCCAUGCGAUCAACACUGAAAAAUUUUGUCCACAAUGCUCCUCUCCCGUACUCAUCCGUAAUCCAUGCCUCCAUGAGGUAACGGGUGCUGUAACGGGUGCUGUGGUAUAUGAACAGAUUCGCCUUGUGAAUCCAAGUCCCAUGUUCUCAUUGACUUCAGGGAUCGGAAGCACCUGUUGAAAUUUCUCUUCCGACAAAUCAAUUGACAUAAUCACAUCUUUGCGCGAAUCGUCUAUCUGUCCAUGCUAGUGAAAGCCCCUUUCCAAUAAACUCCUUGGCCAGAAAGUUUAACUUUCCCUUUCCGGAACUGAACUUCUAUCCUUCUCCAAGAACCGGACCUGAGAGAAAAUAUUGCCACGUUCCAAUUUCCAUCACUAAAAACAUCUACUGCUACUAUUUUGUAGUCAUCAGAUUGAGAGUCAUACCCGAAUCCGCAGAAUGACUUAUCUCCAAAUCCACGGAAUAACUCAGCUUGAUGAAGAAUAUCAAGAUCAAGAACGGGCAACUCAAUAUACUCCCUGGUGGUCGGGUUUUAUAUAAGAAAUUUGAAGGGGGUAAUAAAACAUACCAGGCCAUCGCAAGACCCCACGAUGUAGGACUCCCGCAAAGGUUUGAUAACGUGAGGUACCACCACCAUGCGACCCUCGCCGCCACUGUCGAGCGCUUCGUAGUCCACGGUCUUGAGGGAGCCAUAGCAGCCACCGCUGAUGAUUCUCUGGCUAGGGAUCAAAUCCCCUGCCUUCAACACCUGCAUAUGCGACUUGGCGAAGCCCGGUUCAGAGAUCAGAGACCGCCACUGCUUGCAGACGCAUUUGCAUCGCACCAGCAACUUCGCCGGUAGCCUCAAGAGUAUGUCGACAACGGCAUUUUCGUGUAUGCUUUCGGCCAUUGUUUCGGCAAAAUGGAAACAGGAGAGAGAGCUCGGAUUUGUUGGAAUUUUGUUUGUUAAAACAAAAUAAGUGCUUUUUACUUUGUCCCACGUAAAAAAUGUGGGUGUAGGAGGGUAGUUUAAAAAUGUGGGAUUUCCCUUUUGUAGUUAAAAGAGUGAUUAGGUGGGCCAGAUCCCACCAUACCUGUGCGGGUGCGUGAAUAAUUGCGCGCGCCUGAGAUUUAAUUAGCAUUAAUCCCUUGCUAUUUAUUUAUUUAUUUAUUUAUUAUUUUAUUUUUAGUUUAAAUGUUGCCUUUUAAUUUGAGAAUUUCGGAAAUGAAAUAUAAAUGAAAUUUCGAAAUUUUAUUUUUUUUAAAUUAUUCGAAAUUUUAUUUGUGUCUUUUCAAGACAACCUUUGGAAAAUUACUUAUUCGGUUUUAAUUUUUCCGAAUGAUUGCAAUUGUUCGUUUUCGAUUUCUUCCGAAGAGUUGCAUUUGUUUAUCUGAAACAAUUUUCUAAAGACGUGUUUGUUCGCAAUUUUCAUAAAGAGUUACAACACUGUUUCAUAUAUAUACUUAGUGGUCAUUUUUCGAGUAUUCUUUCUGAAAACAGCAGCCAAUUUUUCGAUUGUUUUCCUAGAGAAACACUUGAGAAAUACUAUAAUUGUUAUUUAGUAUUCUCAUCCAAAACUUUGUUGUAUCCUGGAGGAUUUUUGCCGGUGAUCAUUAGCAACGUUGUGGGGCAAAUAAAUUCUUAAAAAAAGUGAUAUCACGCCUCAAAGUCCAAGUUGUUUUACUUGAUCCGAUUUCAUUGUACUACCUAAUUUCGAAGCAUAUUUUACCACCAGGAUUGAGGUCGAGUAGGUCAGCGAUGGCUAGUAGCCGGCCUUCAUAUAUUGGGAGAGGCAGCGGGAUCCGCGUCCACGUGCUUGGCGUGCGAGAGUAGCCCGAACAGAGGAUGGGUUAUUCACGAAAUCUUCUGCAACAAUAUAGUAUGCACGACUUUUAGCGUUCAAGAAGGGCAAAAUUCGAAAAGAAAAACAAAGAGUCGUAAUCACGUAAGACGAAAGAGCCAUUCAUUCGGGAGCGUGGACUACGUGUACGUGUGGCACGCCCUGUGCGGGUACUGGGGCGGGCACGCCGGGCCUGCCCAAGUCGAGCGUGGUGAAAAUUGACCUCGUUUUCUUCAUUACAUGCCAAUAAAUACUACUACUUAUGCAUGAAUGACUCACAUGAUUAUAGUUGAAUGUUCACUACAUAACAAGACCGGUAAAUUGUUGGUGAAAUUACACCAAAUCAGAUUGGACAAAUUAGCAAGUGAAGUGAGUAUUCCAGCAAAACAAAGAUGAUCAAAUGGCCAUUCAUCAAGCAGAGAUUUGACCCUACAUCUAGAGUGGACAGGGUACUUAAAGCACAAUGAAGUUAAUAAAGAAUGACCAGGUCUUAUAAUAGACUUUCAACACUCUUUGUUUCUUCUACAAAAUCCACAAAAUCAUACAACAGCUCAAGAUGGCCGGAUCAUUAAGCUAGAAAAAAAAAAAGGUAAAAUUCAAAGCACCAUAACGACUCUUAAACGCUCUAGAUUCUUGAUGGCUCACCGCGAAGAUAGGGAGAGACAAGAGUUUCCAAAUACAUAGCAUAUUCAGAGUCCUCCUCUAUGGGAUAAUCCUUGCGAGAAUUAUCCUCCGGAUUAAACAGAAUCAUUAGGUUCAUAUCCAUGUGGAAAACGAUUUUUCCGCUCCUUGUGUAUGCGAUGGGCUUUCUUGGAAUGGGGGGUAUUAUUCCAAUUUAUGAAGGGACUGCAAUCAACUCUGAAAAAUUUUGUCCACAGUGCUCCUCUACUGUACUCAUCUAUAAGCCAUGCCUCAAUGAAGUAAUCGGUGCUGUGGUAUAUGAACAGAUUCGCCCCGUGAAUCCCGAGUCCUAGGAAAUCUAUCUCCUCAUCAACUUCAGGGACCGGAAACACCUGGUGAAAUUUCUCUUCCGACAAAUCAAAUGACAUAAUCACAUCUUUGCGCAGAUCGUCUAUCGUCCAGACAUAAGCGUGCCAGUGAAAGGCCCCUUUCCAAUAAACUCCCUGGUCAGAAAGUUCAACUUUCCAUUCCUGGAACUGAACUUGUAUCCUUCUCCAAGAACCGGACUUGAGAGAAAAUAUUGCCACCUUCCAAUUUUCAUCACUAGAAACAUCUGCUGCUACUAUUUUGUAGUCAUCAGAUUGAGAGUCAUAUCCGAAUCCGCAGAAUGACUCAUAUCCAAAUCCAGAGAAUAACUCAUAUCCAAAUCCAGAGAAUAACUCAGCUUGAUAUUCAUAUCCAAAUCUAUAGAAUAACUCAGCUUGAUUAACAAGCUCAGGACCGGGCAACUCAAUAUACUCCCUGGUGGUCGGGUUAUAUAUGACAAAAUUUCUGAAGCAAAUUAAACAUGAGACCAUCGCAGGACCCCACGAUGCAGGGCUUCCCCAAAGAUUUGAUCGCUUCCUCCAGUUCUAAAUAUUCCCUUUUUCUAUCUAUGUCAACAUUUUUUAUAAAGAGAGAGAGAUUCUAAUGUUUUCCUUACGCUUCCUCCAGUUCUAAAUAUUCCCUUUUUCUAUCUAUGUCAACAUUUUUUAUAAAGAUUAUUCCAUCAGCAUAUCGUGAAUUUUCCAUACUAUCAUUCGUAGAACAAAAAGUCACAACUUAGUAGAUCAAAUACUCAUAUUUUUCUGACUCGUCCUCUCAUGAUCCUUCUUACGAUCUUUACCCACAUUUUUUGUUUUUCUUAAAACUGUGCCGGCUGAUAAGCGUAGGGACCAAGUAUACCUCUUCGGAAAAGGUGCCAACUCGGGAAGCUACACUUGAAAUAAGUGACACAAGCCAUAUACCAUUGGAAAAUAUACUUGAAGGCUCGCUGCGAUGCGUGGAUUGCAAUUGCAAUUUUUCAAGUUCCAACUAGGCCUUGAACCAAGCAGAAGAAACCAAGAGAGCAAUCACCAAGAGCAUGGAUGGUGUGGGUUUGAUAGGUCGGCAGGCUCUAGGCCCUUCAAGACCAUAGACUACAAAGCGCUUGACGGCUUUAGCAAGUGAAAUUAGCAAUUUAAUCCCAAGGGAACUCCACUUGAAAGAGUGGCGACAAGGUACUUCGAGCGAGUAUAUUAGGAACAGAACCAAUGUAAAACCCAUGAGUUGCAAAACAUCACAAUGAAUGUAAAUUGUUCUAGACAUUGUGGUAAAAGGUCAUUAGGCUUAAACCUUUUGCAUCACAUGCGAUGUAGCGCAUUUUCUACGUGGACUUCAAUAAUUUAUUCAACACAAUCAAUUAGGAAAUGGAAAUAUCACCAGCUUAUUUAAUUGAAGAAACUACAAAAACACUUUGAUGCAAAUAAUAUGUUUCUCAUGCCGUGCGAGAGUAGCCCGAAUAGAGGACGGGUCAUUCACGAAAUCUUGUGCAACAAUAGUAUGUACGACUUAGCAUUCAAGAAGGGCAAAAUUCGAAAAGAAAAACAAAGAGUCGUAAUCACGUUGGACAAAGAGCCAUUGAUUGUAACUGCAGCAAUACAAGAUGGUUCAGGCUCAAAUUCAGCUAGCACAAAGCUUUAAGUGCAUGAGUAUUCAGGUCCAAGCAUAACGAAACUCUUGCUGUCUCUCACAAAAGCUGAUUCUACCUGCUUGAUGCGAUUCCAACGUUUCAAAAUUCCAUAGCGCCAUCCUUCAAAGGCAAGCCAAAGAUUCAUAAAUUGUGAUCCAUCGAUCCGACGGCAAUGUAUUUUGAAUCAGGACCAAAUUUAACGCACAUCACUUUACUUGCGACCCGAACCAGAAUAUCAGUGGAAGCCACAUUCAGAGAUGCAAGAUUUAUAUAAGAAAGAAAGGAGGAGGAGGAAGGGGAGACAUGACCUGUCCCAGAUCAGGAAGAAUAGAAGAAUAGAAGGACAGUUCCUGAUUCUGGACAUGCAUUUCUAUUGGACAGAAGAAUAGAAGGACACAAAGUCACUCGAUCUUGAAUACUUAGGAGGCAAAAUAAUCCUCCCAUUGGCGGUGCAUAGAGUUAUGGUGCUCUCGGAGAAACUUUUGAAAUUUCGUGAGAGUAGAAAAGUUUCAGGAGAAUUCACAGUUUUGAAUUUCCCACCUUUCUGAGUAUGCGUUUGGUGAAACUUUUUUGUAAGCAACUUAUCAUAAACACAUUGUUUUCCGACUUUUCAGAAAAUAAUUUUCAGCUAUCAGAGAAAUUGAAAGCAACAGAGGCUAGCUCAUACAAUUAAAAUAAAGAACAGGUAAAUAUUCUAUAAACAAACACAAUCCUAUAUUACCUUAUUAUUCUCACAAGUCGAGUACAAAAUUCUACCGUAUAGAAACUCAUCGCCAGCAAGUGCAAGAUAAAAUCCACUAUAAUCAAAUUCAACUGCAAAAUAGGAGAGAGACUCAGUCAUAGUUACUCACUGAUAAUUCACACACACUGAGCCAACCCUCCUUCACACACACACACACACACACACAAACACACACACACACACACACACACACACACACACACGANNNNNNNNNNNNNNNNNNNNNNNNNNNNNNNNNNNNNNNNNNNNNNNNNNNNNNNNNNNNNNNNNNNNNNNNNNNNNNNNNNNNNNNNNNNNNNNNNNNNAAAUAGGGGAUAUGACAUAAUAUCUGCAAAUUAAUUUUCAAGAAACCUUUUACAACAUAUUGCGCAAUCUAGGGCAAAAGAAUCUUAUUCUAGAUAGUUUCGUUUAAUACUGCUAAUGAUAUCACCAGCAUAUUCUCAGUAUCUAUGACCAUAUUAGCAUCCCACCAGCACCCACAGUCAAAACUUGCAGCAAUUUGACGUUGAUUGCUAUUAACUACAUGGUGACAGCAACAUAAUUAGAUAGUUCCAUCCCAUAUAAUAACAGAAAAAUUGUAAGAAAAAUAAGAAAGCCGCUUCUCCAAUCAAGAAUUACUUCUUUAAUGCUCAAACAAAACAACAACGAUAUAAGCAAAUUUGAAAAGCAAACCAACAUCACAGUAGAUCAACCAUCAUGCAACACAGCAUCAGACCUACAACCAUUCUGAUGCUGAUACACGAUUUUCACCACCAAAAUCAGGAGUUUGAACGAAGAGGAUGUUGGAAAAGGGCAGGAAAAAGAUCACACAUAUCAUUGCAGAAAAGAGUAAAACAUAGUUUGCGGUUCAACUCAUGUUAAAAUUAAUGAAAGACUAUAUGCAUAAAACAAAGUUGCUCAAAAUGCAUCAUUAUAUGAUUUAGUUAUUACAGUCUUCACAAGAAUUAUCAUCCAAAGAACACAUAUGACAUUGACAGAAACAAGGAUAUUCAUUAUUCAGUAUGGAUUUUGCAGUCCCAUCAUGAGUCCUAUAACAAAGCUCUAAUUCAGAGGCAUGGCACAAUUUUGUUCAGUCCCAAAAUUUGCAAUUUUCAAGAAGUCAGCAUAAUUCAUCCUGAGAAGAUAUUGUCCCGAUCCAAAGAAGUAUCAAUCCCUUUGAAAGAAUAAUGGGAAGUAGAUUUUCUGAUGAGAGGUGUUUCAUUUUUCUAUGCAGGAUGUGAGCAUUAUCAAAUACUUUUGAAGGCUGCUUCUCACUAGUAGCCAAUGAGGUGCUUGGUAUCACAAUGCAAGAGGGCCGAUUUGUGAUAAUAUAUUUCCUCUUGGGUUUGAUUUAUUGGUUUAAGGGAGAGAUGUUCAGUUAUGUGGCCAAGGACAACCAUUCCUUUCGCUUUGCAAUGCUUCGUGAAGAAACCAAACUGGACUUAUCUCAUCAAAGCUCACAGUUUGGAGCAAAACCAAAUCAAGAAUUUCAACCACUGAAAAUCUUGGUUCACAAUAGUUUUUUAUAUUUUAUACCAUCUCUUGAGUUUAAACAAUCAGGUAAAACACUUUUAAGAAAUACGAACACAACAUAUGGACAGAAGCAUCAUAUCCUAUUGCAUCAUAAAGUACUAAUGAAGGAAUAAUUCUGUCCAUUCAUUUCCUUUUUUUAUUCUUUUUUUUACCUCUUUCCAUUAACCUAGCAUGGAAUUCGAAGAUCAAUACCUACCCAAACCAAUACCUAUUGUCAACUAUAGACAACCUGAAAGCCUCAUCACUUUGGUUUUUCACUAUUGUCAAGAUCACUUAUUGCCUUGUCCUUAUAAUAGGGUCAUGAAAGUUUGAGUGUCCCCUGUCCUUAGUCAUUAAAAUAAGGGAGAACAGGUGUUGGUUAAACUGGAUCAUAAUAGUAGCCAAAAAGACCAUAAAUUUUUCUUUCCUAAGCCCUUCACAGGCCCUUCAAGAGUCUUCCACCGGGCAUAACGUACCACGAGUGCUUUUCCUGAGAUACCUAUUGUGAAACAUACUACAAGGUUAUUUUUUAUAGGCAAACUGUGUGUAGGAGACACACAAUUUAGGUGGCAAGGCAUGCACAACGCUCCACAGAAUCCCUACUUCAUACAUUUUAAGAUGCCCCAAGGCACUCAAGCAUUGUAGCACUUGGCAGUGGUGUCUGCCCGUGACCUCAUCAAAGCAGAAAUUUAAUAUGUAAGGUUGAUCAAUUCAAAAAGCAAGACCUAUUAUGUUUCACUUGGCAGACGAGAAAAGCACUUCUAUGCAAUACAUUGUCAAUCCACCUCAUGUAAAUAAGCUCAUGUUCUUAUUAAUUGAUUUUUUUCUUAAAAACCUUUUAACUAUCUUCCCUCUUAACUUCCAAACUGCUGUAACUGUCGAGCUUUUUUUUCCAGGAAACUCCAUACAAACACACACAUAUACAUUUGGUAACACAAUUAUUCAGAUGGAUGCAGUAACUGGAAAUCAAUACCAAACUUACAAAAAGACAGAAGAUCUCAGAUCCUCUCAUUAUCAUGGCAUGCCUUUUUUCUUAAGUCUUUUUAUUCAAACACAUGACCACCUCAGGAAUAAAAUCAUUCUGCCACUUGAAAAUAACAGUGAUAAUUAGGUUUAGAAUAAUUCUCCAAAGAAAAUUCCCCUCCGAAACUCCAGAGAUCGCAGCACGUCCACGAGUACUAAAAUUCACUUCCCAGAUCAAGAAAUUCAUAGCAUGCACCUUAUUCUAAUGAUCUAUAUUCUGGAAAAGAAUGAUGAAACCUGUCCAAGAAACACAUUUUAGAAAGUAUAAUGUGUGAGUGGCUUCAUCACCGAAAAAGAUACAAAAAUAAGAUUGCCCCAAGUCCCAUGAAGCUAUAACCCUGGAUUAAGUUCUACCGGAUACCUCCAUCUCUAUAGCACUAUAAUGUAAAACGCAAAACUGAAACUGUCUUAGGUCAUCCUUCACUAUCUGGUAAGUUUACUAUGGCAUUAAAACACCAAAUAUUGAAAGCAUACCAAACUAGAAAACCUGAAUUCUCACUGGAAAUGACAAACCUUAGAUAACACCGUUUAAAAUCAAUUCUACCAGGUGAAACAAGCUAUUCAGUUGCACCUCUAAUGUUCGGAUGACUGCAGCAAAGAAUCUAAGCCAAGGCUACAGUAAAGUUCAACAAUGUUCACACCAUCACCCUAAUAUUAGAGGGAGAAACAUGUGGAGGCACAAACAGUUAAUAUUGCAGGUGUUCUUUCAUCAACCUGACCAAUAUUCCCAAAAGAUAUCCACUAAAUCAGACCACGCACGAGAUAAAUCAACAUGUUCUUAAGCAGGCUAGCAGACAAUAUGCUGCACAGUUGAACUGCACAUGAAUGAAGAAGAAAUUACCAUCACUGUGCACCAAAGUCGUGUCUUUGGUUCCCAAUAAAAGACUAGAUUCUAUUACUUCUCUAGACUGCAUGUGUUUUUAAGCCUUGUGACUGUAUUCAAAGCUACUUUGACUCGGUACAUAACUGAACAAUACUAGUAGGAGAAUGACAUCCAUGCUUCAGAUAACAGGAAAAAUCAUUGAGAUAGUUGACUACACCAAAUGAAACAAGAAAACGGGCAGAAGGAUUUCGUACAAGCAAGAGACAUAAAGUUUAUACCAAGGAAGCAUGUUUCAGCUAUGAAUACAGCAUAAACUGUUGAGAAGGCAUGUUUAUGACUACAACCAAGACAGAUGUGACGUGGAAUGUGCUUUUCCUUUUCAUAAUUGAAAGGAAGCUAUUUAAUCAAGUAAAAAAGGUCACAAAGAGUACCUCAGCAGUAUGAUCUUUCAUUAUGCUGACAGUUAUAGCUCCAAUCUUCCAAACCUUGUCAAACCCGCACAGUCUGCAGAUCAAACACAUGCAUCUAGAGAAAGUACGACAAAAUUACAGUAGUAACUACUUCAACAAACUAUUGCAAUCUUUAUGGUUAGAAUGAAGAGCACAACAUAUACAGAGCCAACCACAUGCAAAAUGGAAAUAUUCAUCACAAUUAUUUAUUUUCUUCUCUUUUCCCCUUCCUUGUCAUAAGGGGGACUAGAGCAAAGAAUUGCAGAGUUCUCAAAAGAUUCACAUGUUCAGUAGCUUAGCAUGUCAGAUGAAUAGUACAUGCCACCAAAAGUUCAUGUUGUACUAGGGACACAAAGAAAUAUAUUCUGCAAAGAAAAAGUUCCAAAAAAUCCAGCUGCCAGACAUUUUUAACAUCUCCUAACACCCUUAGGGGGAAAAACAUACAUUCUGGCCUGUAGGUUGAUAAAUCCAAUAGGAGGAUGCAUAAUGCCUGAUCAAUUCAAAUCAUCCAGAAAACAAGGAAAAACCAUGUCUAUCAAACCUAUUCAAAGAAUCGGGCAAGAGCAUGGGCAUAUAACAAGUGUUAUCCAUACCAGGCUGCUAAUUGUUGUAUUGUACAGUUGACCCAAAACAUUUCGCAAUAACCACAGCAUUUUGGGGAAGAUUAUCUUCAAGUCAUUCAUUUUAAAGAUUCAUCCAUACCCAAACAAAAAUUCUUUCGCACCUUUUCCUUGCUCUGCAUUGUCAACCUCCAAUUACCCAAAAAGGCCACUGCUCGAUCUAUGUGUCUCAAAACAAGAAAAUAAAAAAUGCACGUGACCUCCACAAGCAACUGUCUUUUGAUGAAACAAUCAAAUAGAAGAGCAAAUAAGGUAUUGCAUCAAUAUAAUAUAAUGUCUCUAGGACUAUGACCGAAGACAGCUUUCUAUCACAAUCCAUUUUCUCCUCUAGCACACUUGGCACCAAUAGCCCAUAUUCCUACCAGUAAUAUUGCUGACCAAACAUCAAUGUCACAAUUACUGUAGCAAUGUCCUCUGAAGGCAAGCCAAAGAUUCGCAAAUUGUGAUCCAUUGAUCCGACCGCAGUGUAUUUUGAAUCUGGACUGAACUUAACGCACCUCACUUUACCUGCAAUCAAAACAAGAAUAUUGGCAGGGGCUACGUUUAGAGACAUGCAAGAUUUCAAAGAAGAAAAAAGGAGGAAAGGAGGAAAGGAUGACAUCUCCCAGAUUGAUGAGGGAAAGUCUUGAUACAAAUCCACUCUGAUUUUACACUGGCAAUUUGAUAGGCUCUGGCAAAGCACAAAAUUAAGGUUAUUCCAAAAAAAGCUGGCACUACUUAAUCAAAAGAAGAUGAAAGUCAGAAUUCUAAACAAGUCCUGAUUCUAGUCAUGCAUUUCCCUUGAACAGAAGGAUAGAAGGGAAAUUUAAGAGCUUUCUAUAUGAGAGUCGCUACACAAAACCUUUUGUUUUACUCCAUCUUCUUGCGAGUAACGGCAAGUGAUGGCACUGGUGUCUUAUGCACCUGGAUUGUUGGCAACACGCAAGGGGCAGUGCUUGGUGUCAUGCUAGAAUGCCCCUUAAAACCUAUAGCAAAAAGGAAAUGCCGGGUAAUCCAUAACAUUCUUGAUUUUGUUGUCACUGUAUUUGUAAUCAUCUUCUGUUCGGUCUUGAUUGAGUUAUUUUAGUCUUCUUUCUUGAUUCAAAGCCUCUUGUUAGUAACGGUUCCCUGUUCACUUGCACGGGACAAACCAAACAUUCGCGUUCACAACCUUAAAUGGGCAAAAGAGUUAUAUUAGUUGUUGAGGCACUCUUCCAAGUAUGUGAUGGGGCCAAACGGCUGAUUGUGCCGGUUACUUGAGAUUCAUUCCUGUUUAAACUCAUUUCAACUUCAAAUGAAGCUUGCUUUCUCAGAGUGAGGAAUUCUUGUGGGUGUGUGCGGUUAUUUCUGUAAUCUGUUUUCUUCAAUGUGUGGAUUAAUAGAGAAGAGAAGAUUCGAUGCCAUGCAGAGUAAUAUACCUGACUGGGAAUUAUACUUAGAAUUAGCAAUCUGUUCAUAAAGUGAAAUCACAAAAGAACAAGAGAUCCCUAAUUACAACAGGGUACGUAGAGGAGUUCUAACUCCAGAAACAGAAGCAGACAAUCAAGGUUAAACCAAUGGGAUGAAAAACUAUUAAAUGUACACAGUUCUAUGAACAUUGCAACGAAAGAGUUUCAUCUAGGCUAAACCUUUGGCACCUUUUCACAUCAUGCGGGAGUUUGCCAUCACCAUCCGUUUGAAUAGAUAACUUGCAUCUUGGUAUAUGGAUUCAAUAGUUUAUUUGGUAAUUAGGGAAUAACAUUAUCGCCAGUUUCUUUAACUGGAGACUACAUUGUGCUUUGAUCCCGACGGUAUGUUUAUCAAGCUGUGCGUGCAAAUACAGCCCAAUGAGAGGAUGGGUCGUUCCUGAAAUCUUGCACAGCAAUAGUACAGAGAGUACUCAACAAGGCAAAAUUCAAAAAGAGUCGCUGAUCUUGACUAUAGUAUUACAAGAUAGUUCAUCCUCAAAUUCAGUUGCAUGAGUAUCCACAUUCCAGUCAAGCACAUUAAAACUCAAACUCUACUUACCAUCUCAUUAUUCUAGCAAACCGAGGAUGAUUGAAUGGGCAUUCAUUGAGCAGACAUCUAACCCGACAUCUGGACAGAGUACUAAAAGCACGAUAAACUUACUAAAGAAUAGACUUUUGACACUAUUUUUUUCUUCAAAAUCCACAAGAUCAUUCAACAGCUCCACCACCAAGGUGGGGAGAAACGAGAGUUUCCAAAUAGAUGGCAUAGUCGGUAUCGGCAUAGUCGGUAUCAAAGUCCGUCCCUAAGAGAUGAUCUUGGCAAGUAUUAUCCUCUGGAUUAAACAGAAUCAUCCACUUCCUAUCCAUCAAAAAAACAAUUUUUCCACUCCUUGUGUACGCAAGGGGGAUCUUCUCGAAGGGCCUAUUCCAAUUUAUGAAGCCAUUGGAAUCAAUACUGAACCAUUUUUCCCACUGUGCUCCUAUCCUGUACUCAUCUGUCAUCCAUGCCUCAAUGCGGGGAUUUUGGGCAGUAUUGUAUAUGAACAGAUUCGCCCCAUGAAUCUCGAGUCCCAAGAGGAAUAUGUCCUCAUCGACUGGAGGGACUGGAAGCACCUGGUGAAAUUUCUCUUCCGACAAGUCAAAUGACAGAAUCGCAGAAAAGCCCUCAUCAUUCAUGUUCCAGACAUAGACGUGGCAGUGUAAGGCCCCUUUCCAAUAAACUGCUGGGUGGCCACAUUCGACUUCCUCUUCCUGGAACGGAACUUCUAUCAUCAUCAUUCUCCAGGAACAGGAUUUGAGCGAAAAUAUUGCCACCUUCCAAUUUUCAACUUCAACAACAUCCCCUACUACUAGGGCUAUUUUGUAGUCAUCAGAUUGAGAGUCAUAUCCGAAUCCAUAGAAUGAAUCAUUUCUGGCCCCUCGGAAUAACGUAGCUUGAUCAACAAAAUCGGAACCGGGCAGCUCCAUAUACUCCCUGGUGGUCGGGUUAUAUAUGACAAAAUUGCUGGGGCCAAUUAAACAUACCAGGCCAUCGCAGGACCCCACGAUGCGGGAAGGUUCGAUCCCAUGAGGUACCACCAUGCGACCCUCGCCGCCGUCGAGCGCUUCGUAGUCCACGGUCUUGAGGG
Molecule: long non-coding RNA, 55713 nt
Filed under: Eucalyptus grandis
Lineage: Eukaryota; Viridiplantae; Streptophyta; Magnoliopsida; Myrtales; Myrtaceae
Description: long non-coding RNA (EGRA_LNC004995)
Source: RNAcentral